Molecule: long non-coding RNA, 60208 nt
Filed under: Gossypium raimondii (Peruvian cotton)
Lineage: Eukaryota; Viridiplantae; Streptophyta; Magnoliopsida; Malvales; Malvaceae
Description: long non-coding RNA (GRAI_LNC005300)
Source: RNAcentral
AAGCAAAUGGAGAAAAGGCUGUCCUUGGCCACCCUGAAUCAUUCUUUUUCCCUCCUCCCCUGUUUCCUCCGAACCCCUUUCAGCCUCCUCCGUUGCUUCCUCCCAUACUGCCACCACCAGCUCCACUUAUUCCAAACCCAUUUCAGCCUCCUCCAGCUCCACUUAUUCCAGCCUCCUCCAGCACCACCGGCUCCACUUAUUCCAAACCCUUUUCAGCCUCCUCCCGCACCACCGGCUCCACUUAUUCCAAACCCUUUCCAGCCUCCUCCCGCACCUCCAGCUCCAUUUAUCCCGAACCCCUUCCAGCCUCCUCCGGCACCUCCAGCACCUCCAGCACCAUGGUUUCAUCUUCCACCGAUUCCAGGACUAACUCCACCACCAUCGCCACCACCUCCACCUCCACCAACCUUCCCGUUUCCUCUUCCCCCAUUCCAUUUCCCACCUGUACCGCCUUUCCCUGGUAUCCCCCCUGCCUCUGCCUCUACUUCACCAAAGAAAUCCUCUCCUUAAUUGUAUACUAUAAGUAAUGAUUCUCCACUAAAACCUAUCACAAUCUAGCCACUCUUCUGAUGAUUAUGAAUUACAUAUGUAUAUCUUUUUUGUUCAUUACGAUUAUAAAUUAUAUGUACAGUUAAAUAAUCUACCUAAACAGUGUGGGCUUUCUCUUGGUUGUUUGUAGUGUGAUUGACUGUACCAUUGUCAAUAAGAAGGUCCCGUGAAUGUGACACAAUUAUUGUACUAUAUAAUAAAUCCAAUCCUGGGGUCAUCUGAUUCCAACAGGUUUAUUCUCUUUAGUCUAAAGUUCUUCUAAAUCAGAACUUUUUUUCCAUUUUACGACUCCAGCUUCUUCUUCUUCUUCUUCUUCUUCUUCUUCUUUUUUGAAUUUGUUGAGCAAUUACUAUAUUAGUAAAGCCUGAACUACGUAAUAAAUAAGCUAACAGCAACCACUAAACGAAAAUGAUAAUCACGACAUGCCAUCACUAAAAACAUGGAAUUUUAAUUAGUUAAAUGAAAACAACAAUGAGUCUUUGUCUUAUUAACUUGAAAGAUUGAUAGAAAGAAGAUACACGUUGCAGCAUCCCACUCCAACUGUUCUAGGUUUACAAAUAGAAAGCCUAGCUAAUAUAUGAUUAGCCAUCUGGACACUGGUGUUGAUUUCAUUUAAUAAUGCAAUCAAAAGAAUAUAGUUUUGUCUUGUACCUAUAUAUAUUUCCUCCAUUCUCAGCCGAUUGCUCAAUAUUCAGUAAUGGAGACGACAAUUAGGAUGGUGCAGAGGGAGACAGAUGACAUAGAAGUAGAAAAUUAGGUUUUUUCUUUCGUACUUUUUGGCUGUUUUUGGCGGUUUGGUGACAAAAGAAAUGCAUCAGGAACGGCUGCUUCUGGUUCUUUGGAUAAGAUGAUGGAUAAGCUCUCUCUGCUGAUAGCAGUAAACAAAGAUGGAAUUAUUUUUAACUUUUUUCCUAUGCUUUUAGCAUUUUAAAUCUCCAAUAACGAAGCAUCAUCAACAUUAACCAACAACAUACCACGCACCCGUCAAUAUAAAUCAUUGAAAGGUUCGUGCAAAAUAACCACAUCGGCAUGCACAUGCAUAGGCCCAAACAUUAAGCACAAAAAAGCUUACCCCUGGACUCAAUUUUGUUGUCUCCUGGCUCAUAUAUUUGCAACUUUUCCUGUAAAAAACUGAAUUUACUCUUUGACCUACACAUCAAAAUCUAUUCAUGAGAAACAAAUAAUAAACAUAGUGAUCACUUUCAUGCAUGUAUAGAACAUAUGCAAUAUGUACAGCCUUGUCUCUCUUUUCAUCAUUUUGAGGUAUAAGGUCUCUCAAAAUCUGAAACCUGCCACAUAAAAAAUAAUGGAUUUCAAAUGUGAGAGCAAUCUAGUUUCUAGUAUUAACAAAAACAAGAGGGAUGGUAUUGGUCAUAAGUAGGAAAAGUUUACAUGGUUGCUGAAACUUCAAUAUGACAGCAACUUAACGAUAAAUUGAUCUUUUUUGAGAGUUUUCUUUAUUCAGAUGCAAUUAUGUUUAGCCUAUUAAUAGUUCGCACAUCUGUGGAAUAAUGUGUAUCUGUUGAAAAAAAAAAGGUCAUACUAAUGAUCAAUCAUUAGCAGCUUAAUCUACACAUCAGAUUUUAUCAUACUCCACAGCUUUAUCCUUAUUUUUUGAUUUGGAGAUGGAGAAUUCGAAAGAGGCUUGUUGAGCCAAAAUGCUUUGCUAUUGACAUUUUAGUUAUACUAGGUUUGGUGUUAUGUGAUAAAAUUCCAAUCAGCAAAAUACAUAAACCAGAGUUAAAUUUUAAUAUCAAAUAAAUUAUACUUAAAGAAUAUUUUUUUUAUUUAAUAAUUUUGAGAAGUAAAAGAAAAUUUUGAGAAAUGGUAAAACUUUGGGAGAAAUUUGGUAUAAAACUCAUAGAGGACAAAAUUUUGGAGAAAUUAUUUAGAAUCUUAAAUUUGAUCCUCUCAAAUGUUUAGAUUUAUGUCUUUACAAGCAAACUUAAUCUGUACAUAUGAAUGGUGCUAAAUAAGAUUUCAUCACAAGUUCUGUUGCAAAUGUUUUACUUUGUUAAUAAAAUAUUUUUUGUUCAACCAAAUUCAAUAUAAACAGAAAAUAUAUAGUUCAACUCUUAUUACAGGCAACCAUUACAGAACUCCUUAAUAUUGUUGAAUAAAAACCUACUUGUUAGCCUAGGGAAGUGGAGUCUCAGGCUUAGAUUAGCCGAAAGAUGGGUAUCCACAUGUACGUAUAUGGUACUUGUUUAUGUAGUAUACCUAUUUUACAACGAAAGCCUCUUACUCUUAAUUAGAAAAUGGAAUAUAGCUACACUUACAGAGACAGGAGAGGACCCCCCUACAAUUUAAUGCUUGUUUGAAGAGAUGCUAUAAAAACUACCCAAACGUUACUUUUUGACUAAAAUGUUUAGUUGCAGUAGCUAUGGCAGCUUCAGGGCCACUUGGUUGUGCGGUUUUUGAGAAUGAAUUGGUGCAUAAGGACAGCAGAAAUCUUAAAAAGGAUUCACACGAAAGCUCCUCCUUGUAUUUGCUCAUCUUGGUCUUUGACAAAAACUCCCAAUGGACAGAGAAGAUUUAACUGGUGUUUUUGCUUGCUUGAUUGAUUUGAGACUAGAUGGUUUACUAUGUCAUGUUUGGGGGUUCUUAAACCAAAUAUUUGCUUGAAGAUCAAGCUAAUAUUACUGUGGAAUUCCAUUAUUGAAGACAAAAGUCUGGCUCAAGGUUGACGAACUAGAAGCCACAUGGCCUUUUUGACUGCUUUCUUAGUGGUCGACUCAAGUUGCUGCGAAACCAUGCGUUUGACAAAACUGUUCAAAAAUACACAUACCAUGCUUGGCUUUCAAGAUCGCUGAAACUUCAAUUCUCUGUUGUGAAGGCUUUUGUUUGACCGAGAAAGCCCAAGGAAACUUCACUGUGACAGCGACUUUUAUUGAUAACUGUUCUGAGAAUUUUCUUUAUUCAGAUAUAAUUUAGUCCGCUGUGGAAUGAUUAGCAUGUGUAGAAAAAAAUGCCACAUCAAUGAUCAAUCAUUAACAACUUAAUCUAUAUCGGAUUUUAUUAUAAUCCACACCUUAAUCUAGCUUGGGAUGAUUCGAAACAUGCUUUUUGAGCCACAAUGCUUUAUUAUGGACAUUUUUACAUUCUUGGAGAAGAAAAUUUGGUUCCAAAAGGGUGCCUGUAUUCAUAUUCUUAUUUUUUCUAGGCCGGGAAUUUUCAUAAGCCUGUUUAGAACAAAAAUUCCCAAGCAUACAAGGAAUUAUCAAAUGAAAUGAGAGCCAACAUCCAUCACAAAAGGAAUAAAUAGAUAGAUAUUUAGUAAUGGAUUAAAGGAAAACACCUAUCUCAUUCUGUUCUUAAUCAUGUUAUGUCAUGCAUGAAAAAUGCCCAUAAUCAUUUGGGAAUGUCCCAAAAUAGAUCCACAAAAACUUACGUUUGUAAAUCAAGAACUAGGUAAGACUAGUCAAAAUUGAUUGCAGGCUUACUCGCAGAAAACACGAUUGCCUUCCGACGAAGCUUCAAUUAUAUGAUACAUCACCGUGUAAAAGAGCUUAAUAUCACUUCUGAUGGAUUCGAUUAGAGGCCCGACUCACCGGAGUUUGAGAACUGGUGUAAGGCACCUUGCUUCUUCAUCUUGACUUGGAAUUCAAGACACUCUUGCUCACUCUAAAAUAUGUACACUGACACUGCAAUGCUGGUGCCGCAUUUUUGGAACUUGAACAAAAUAUAUAAAGCUCCUGUUGUCAAUCACCACCAUCUUCUUCUUGAUCCUCAAAUUGAGAUUCUUCUUUGAGGUUUAUAUCUUCGCCUCCAGCAUCAUGACUUCCUGCAUGCUGAAGAAACAGUCUAGAUGAUGAUGGAUCAUUUUCAUCAAUAUCCUCCUCGUUGUCCUUUUCAUUAGAGCUUAAAUUCUUUUCACCGUCCAUCCAAGCAGGACAACGAUGUACCACACCAAGAGCAGCGUGAACUUGCAAGUGCACUGAAGGGGUUGAAGCAUUAGACAAUGUUUCACUAGGAUUAGGCCUCAAGCAAGAACAUUCAGGGACUGGAUGUGAAAGUAAAGAUGAAGAUUUUGACUUAUUUGAUGCUUCGAUCAAUCCAUCAAUUAAAGAGCUCCGCAUAUGUCUUCGUAUUGAUGUUAACCAGGAAUGGUUUGCAUGAUAUAUGUGGCCGUGAAUUUGAUCCAAAAGCCUGACAACUUCUUUCCUGUGUUGAAAAAGCAUACAAUCAAUGCAUGGUGAGAGCAUGUAACCUUACAUGACUUGAUAGACGUUUAAAAAGAAAUCACAACUGUCAUUAACUUGCAACUAAAUCAUACAUCCCUAAACUAAUUGUGUAAAUUCAAGCAAACGUGUCUGGUCAGAGAGAUGCUUACCUGUCUGGCCUGUAUGUUUUAGAUGCAGCAGAUUGAUACAAUCUGUGUCCCAUAACCAGACUGGCAAAAUUUGGAUGUCCCUUACCAUCACUAUCGAAUCCAGGAAUGAAAACAUCAGCUUCAACAGCAACUGUAUAGUCUAUGGCUUCCCAUAGUAACUUAUGGGCAUUAGUCCUCAACUCUACAACUGUACUUUCAGGCUCAUUGUCACUCUCAGCAACCCAACCCCACCACCCUUCAAUAUUAUAAGUCUUGGGUCUAGCAGGAGGAGGUGGGAGAGGACGAGGACGAGGACCAGAGUUUUUCCAAGCAUCAAGCUUUGUUUCAACCUGAGCAGAUGGAGGAGCCCUUGGAUAACUUUCAUCGAGGUUAGCCUCGCGACCGUAAAUUCUACUCAGCUCCCAGCUUGUGCUGAGGGAAGUCCUAUCAACAACAUUUUCAAACAAUCCGUGAAGUGGGAUCAAUGUCCUCUGGCCUCCAAAAACUUCACCUCCAGACACAUAUAUUAUUGUAUCCCAUGAGUAUCCAUAUGCCCGAAGAAGAAUACCAACCUGUAGAAAGACAAGUGACUUCAUUCAACAUCUCAAGUUUUCUCAAAUUUUCUCUCCUUAUCCAAUGGAAUGACUACAUUAAUUAACUUUUUAUGAUGUGUUAACAUAUUUGGUUUCAAACAAUAAGAUGAGCAUAGAUCUGAAGCUUCAUAAGUAAAUGAAGUUCAUCAAUAAAAAAUGACUACCUCUUCUGGCGUCAAUGGGCAUGAACCCUUGAGACGUUGCUUAGCAGAAUUUACUGAAAGCUGCCCUUUUAUUAUCCCACGUUUUCUCAUCCAAGCUCUUCUGUGCUGAAUGAGCUCAGCAUGCACAUCCUUGGGUAAGCUCCAAAAGAGAAUAAACAUGUCAAAUGAUGGGCAAUAUUUGAAACAAAGGUUCAGUGAGUAAAAGCACCAAUGGUGCCUUCUGAGUAUAAAAGCAGGUACCUGGAAGAGUUCAGAACAACCGUGAUAGGCUAAAGCAUCUCUUGUCAUACCGGGAUCAAAAGCAAUAAAUGGUCUCCCAGGAGCCCUUAAUCUUAAUUGAUAACAACAUAUUAGGGAAAAAAAAAAGAAAGGAAAUAAUAUUACAUAAUACAAUCAUGGUUAGCUAUUCACCUAUGCAAUAUAUUAGUUGCUAGGUCCUGAACAUCCUGUCGGAACCUCAGGGCAUGAAAAGCAACCCUACAUCUAAGACUUUGAUACUCUUCAAGAUCCGGUGGAAGAAUUGCCUAAAUCAGAUACGGAAAAUAUUAGCAACAAUCACAAAUUCAUAAAGAAAUUAAAAUUUGUGUAUAAUAAGGCAUUUCAACUUCAAUGCAGCAAUAUUCACAUUAGUCUUAACUACUAAUCUGAAGAUAUCAGUAGCACAAAAUGUCAGUUAAGAGACCUUAAAAAGUCUGACGCACAAAAGGAUGAACAGUAAAAUGGUUACCUAAAUGCAGUUUAAGCAAAGCACUUGGUGUUUCAGGAAUUUAACAUGAAAAGCAAGAUGUACCAUGCUCUACAUAACAAAUCUGUGUAGCUAACUUGGUAAAAGUCUUUUGAAAUUGUUCGAGUCAAUAGAAAGAUGAUUAAAUCAAGUCUUUUGAAUUGUUUCAACCAUUAGAAAGAGAAUUGUAUUCCUGAUAUAGACGUAGCACAUGACAUAAAUGUAGGUCACGCAUUGGUAAGAAUGCAAGUGCCUAAGGGUCAAACACGACAAGACUAAAUCGAGCCUAUUAGAGAAACCACCAAAUGCUUAACAAUUAUAAUUGAUAGAUGAGAAACUAGCAAGGUGCUAUUAACCUUCACCACAAGAAUGCAUGCCCUCAAUAUUUAUCAAUUUUAACAAAAGAACAACAUGGAUACAAAUUGAUCUAGAACACAUGCAAAUUAAGAAACCAAGAACAGAUUUAGUGCCUAACAAAAAUAAGCAUCAUUAGAAAUAGGAAAAAUGCGCUUAACAACUAUAUCUGACGUAAAAUUUGAAAAGGUGAUAUUCGAAGUUAAAAAUAAAAUGUUUAAAGUUCAAAUCAAAGGUCCACAGAAAAUUGGCAACUGCAAUCACCUGCAAGCAUCCACCAGCAGAAACAACUAGUUCAACUACAGAAUGCUUGAUCAAAAUAGGGAGCACAUUGUGCAAAUAAUAAUACGGUGAAGCUGCAUACGGCACUCUAAACACUGGGAUUUCCUUAUUUCUCCUCGCUGAUUUAAGGCUUUUAGGAAGGGUUUUCACAAUAUUAACAUCUUUUGCUAAAGCCGCCAUAAACGUUUCCUCAUUAUAUAGGUAGGCAAAACUCUUGAACUGUGAGCUGCAUCAAACAUAUUACAAAUAUAAGUUGAUACAGGACAAAUUACUGAUAAGUCAAAUUAUCAUAUGAUCCAACUCCAAAUAAGAAUAGAAAGCAGUACUAACUAUCAAAAGUCACCUGAUUCCCUUCUUGCUAGUUGUUUGUUGGAUCUCUGGAACAACUAAAGUAGCAUUCAGAAACCGAGAAACCGCAACCACAUCACAUAUCUAGGAUUCAAACAAAAUCAUUACAAUUCCAACUACAUAUAUAAGAUAACUUUACCCAUAAAUAAUAAUUUUCACUAUAGCACCCUUACCGAGCUCCUAAUCUCAUGGAAACCACCUUGUAUUCUGACAAAAAUGUACCCACUUGACUGAGCUCCAGGAUCUGUCGAAGGCACACGUAUAAUAAUACAACCUUAGUAGGAAAUAACAAUUCUAUGCUUUCAAAAAGUGGAUUAAACUGCAACUUGCAAUAGACACGAGGACAUGAUAAAAAUCAGAAUCUGUGUUUUCAUAAAGACACAUACACCAAUAAAUUCAUCAACAUUACUCUUAAAAUAACAUAAAGUUCAACCCUCUCAUUCUACAGGUUGCAUACAUAGAGUAGUUUGCAUGUGAGGAUAAGAAUUAAAAGACAAGGGGAAAUUCUAGGUGAUACGAUGGAGCGAGCAUGCCCACGGUUUCCAUUUUAAUCUCUCCAAAAAUCUGAGCGGUCAAUCGUAAACAAUCAAAGCUACUAUAAGCCAUCGAAAACCACUCAGUAGGUACUGUUAAGGAACUACAUCACAUUUAUCAUUGGAAUUGUAUCAAGAUGAUGGUUAGCAGUCACAGUAAUUUUUAUAAGGAAAAUAAAAGAUCUUAAAUCCUAAUCAUUCAAUGCUAGCAAAUUAACCUGAACAUCUAUUAUCUAGAAUUUGGGAAUGAAAAGCAUGAAAUGUCAUGUUUUUUUUUUUUAAACAAAUGACUAAAAUUAUUGUGAAACACAUAACUGUCAAAAAUCAGAAGUGGAAAUCAGAGCUAACCUGCGUAGUAUCCUUUAGUAUUAGCAUGUGGUUGCAAAGAUUCCAAUUGCCCAACAGGACCCCAUAGUCUUCUAUACAAUGGGCUCUGCACCAAAACAAUAGAAGAAGAAACCCUAAGAAGCCAUAUGUGUUAAAUAAAAUUAACAAACAAAAACUUACAAAAACAGUUUAAAACCAAAUCAAAUCGGAUCCAAAGUACAAAUUUCAGCUCACCUUAAUGAAAAGAAACAAGUAACACUAAUCUGGGCAUUUUCAGUUAACCAAAAUGGAUCCAAACAAAACUCCCAAAAACAAUACUAAAACCCCCAAGUCCACAUGUCCAAGAACAGAAAAGUGAAAUCACCAAGAGCAAAAUGUUUCAAAAAACAAACAAACAGACAAAUACCCUGAAUGUAAAAACACGUCAACAGAAAAUAAUCAAAUUUAGAAACAAGAAAAUGCGAAACAGGAAAAGCAUAUAAAAGAAUCGCAUAGUACCGUUCUCGAGAGGUCUGUAGCUUCAAAAACAGGUCUCCAGGAGAAGAUGGUUAUGGAAGACUGGUACUCGGAGAAGCCGUCUUCAGUGAAUCUGGCUAGCAAGAAGUGCACAAAGAGUGAAAAAACUGACAAAACUAAACCAACCAAACCGACCCAUUUCAUCUUAGACUUCAAAAAAGCUUUCCCUUCUUUCAUUUUUAAUAAUAUUCUUUUCUUUCUUUCCUAAAACUCAAUGGGGUAUUUGCUUUCUCUGUCUAGAAACGGAAGAAAGGUUAAAGAAAGAGGAAACUGAAGAGAACAGAAGGAGAGACACCGAGAAAAGUCAAAAUACAAAGCAAGAGAGAGAGAGAGAGAGAGAGACUGUAAAUACGUGUGAGAACAUGUGUUGUAGUAAAAAAGAAACUGAAGUAGCAGGGGGUGUUUAAUUGGGUUGUAACUUGUGAGAGAUCCGACAUGCUAUUACAGGGAAAGAUUCUGAUUAAUACUGCUGCUCCACUCUCUUCACCUGCGCGUGCUAUUUUUGGAAUUAACUCAAUGAAUAUGAGAUCGGGAUGUAGGAUUAGGAUGCUUGUUUGAUAUCAUGCUGCCACAUUGGGUCUGAUUUAUGAAUAAUAUGACGUGAUUUUUUUGGUUCAUUUUUUUAUGCACUUUUUUUGGUUCAUUAAUGUGACGUGAAGUGGGUCUAACUCCUUUAUUUGUAGGGUACGUGUUAAUCCAUUCGAGGAAUUACUUAUCUAUUUGAUUUGAUAAUUCCACUUGGAUUAAUCUCAUUGAUUUUAUUUAUAAAAUAUAAAUCUUCAUUUAAUUUUAAUUUUAAUUACAAAAACGUAAAAAUAUUUUUUAAAUAAUAAAACAAAUUAUUUAUACUCAUUUUAAGAAUAAAUUUUGUUUUUUCGUAAAUCAAUUCCAAAUUCAAAGUAAACAAAAAUAUGAUGAUUAGGGAUUCUAAACCCUAAAAUUAUGAGUGAAUAUAACAAAAAUAUCCACUUAUUAAAUAAAUUUAUAUUUCUAUAAAAAAUUUAACUUAACUUUUGCUAAUAAAGUUUAAUAAAUCUUCUUCGGGAACAAUAAACACUUAAUAAAUGAAAAAUCUUCAGGUUCUUUAAUAAAUAUCCAUGUAAAUUCUUAUAUUAUCGCAUCGUUAUUGAUUAAGAUGGUCUAACUUAUCAUGCCAACUAACUAGUGUAUUCGGACUAGUAAUCUUUUGAUUUACUAUGCACAUGAUUCAACAAUACUAAUGUAUACUUCUCAUUUACCAUCGCAUGUGAUUAAUCAUACAAACAAAUAUACUAGCAUUGUAUCGAAGAAAAUACAAAUUUAAUAAGUUUAGAGGUAGUUAUAGAUGUCGUAUUUGAAACACCCAAACAUAAAGCAUUAGUCUCAAUACAAUAAAAUCAAAACCUACAUGCACUUGUUGCAAAUAAAUUUUAUCAAUUUACACAAUGUACACAAAUAAAUAUUUCAUUUGUUUGGAUAUAUAUGCAAAAUUAAACAAAGCAAACAUACCAUAAAUGCACAAUAACUAAAAGUUAGAACAUAACAUGAAACUAUUAAUUUGAAUUCCAACACCAAUCUUAUUAUCUGUCUCUACAUUAUUUUCAUUCUUCACUAUUUGGUGGUGAGCAAAAUUAUUAUGACUACCCCUUUGACGAUUAUUAUUAAUGUCCACGAAACCAACUAAAAAUUUGACUAAGGCAAGUACACCUAUCAAUUAAUAGUAUAGCUACGAUAAGUACAAAUAUCGUUCCCAUGAAGACUAAAAGUACUAGUAAUUAUCGUCUUUCUAUUAUGUAGCCGAUAAAUUCGAAUGAUUGAUUAAAAACUAAAAUUAACUAAAUUUAUUAACUAAUGAGCACAACAAAUAAUAAAUCAUGAAAUAAACAAUUAAAGACCAAGAAACAAACAAUACCCAGGAAAGAAUUCACCUGGAUUUCAUCUGUCACUAUUAAUUUAAAUUACGCAAUUUCUUUACUUAAUAUGUUGAUCCGUAUAAAUCCCUAAAUUAUGUUAAUAUGUCUUUUGAGAGUAAGGGCAACUGACUCUAAGUUGAUUAAUGAAAGUAUGUUUUUAAUUAAACCCUCUAUUAUCACAUUAACUCGAUUUAUAGAUUCUCCUAUUAGAUUUGACUUUAAUCUGGUAGAUUUAUGUUGUCUUUUUUCUAGGAUUACAUGCAACUCCACUCAAUUACGCAAUAUUUACUCUUAAAUAGGGUAUAUUUCUCCUCUGAUUUAAGCACAUCAAACAUGGAUCAAUAAUCUAGAAAUAUUAAACCAAGAAUUAAGCACACAUAAUUGAGAACAAGAAACUAAGUAUUUAUUGCAUAAAAUAAAACUCAAACGACAGAAUUCAUCAUAGAGUUCAUCUCCCCUAGGUAUUUAGAAAAUUAGUUCAUGCUUACAAAUAAAAACAUAAAAAAAUACAGUAUAACCACAAGAAAUAAAGAAACUCAUGAUAAUCUCUUGAGAAAUCCAAUGCGAAUCUUCAAUCUUGACGAAAAUCUGCUUCAGAAUCGAGUUCAAUGAUGUUUUUCGAGUUGUUUUUUUGAGUAUUCUAUGAUACUCUCACCUAUCUUUUUUUUUUUGUCAUAUAUACGUCUUAAAAUGCUCGAAAAACCUAAAAAUCACUUUUUUCCACAAUUCAAAAGGUUAAUAAGUGAAAUCAACACGGCUUGCCACAUGGUCGUGUGGUAGUCGUGGCUCAUACAGCUAUGUGGCUAGGCCGUGUGGAAGGGGUCAGCCUCUGUAGCUCUUGUACCUUGCUCUGAUUUUUUGGAUUUCGCUCAUUUUUUGCUCAUUUUACUCCCAAAUGUUCUUCUAAGUAUAAAAAUAUGAAUUUAAAUGAUUAGGAGCAUAAAAUUCACAAUUAAUAUCGAAUAAUCACUCAAAAACGCAUUAAGAAUGAGAUUAAAACAUGUUACUUUUAGCACUUAUCAUUUAUAGUUCCACCUACCAUGUCCACGAUUACAUCUUUUGAAUUUGUUAUGUAUUGCUAUAUUCACUUCAGAGAAUGAAGCAGAUCCGGUAAGACGAACUUUAUGAUUUCAUUUACUUAUUUAAUAACUCAUUAUUUUAUUCAAGUACAAGUAAACAAUAUUUUUCACAUUAUUGCUAUUGUAGGAGCACAUUUAAAACAUGAAAAGUUGAAAAAGUUUUCUAACAAGUUCUUAUCAGUAAUGCUCUUCCCAUAUAAUGUCAAUUUGAGAACUUAUCCUAAAUACUACAAAGUUACAUUAACUCACAAUUUUAAAAUUUUACAACUUCAAGUGCAUCAAAUUGUAACGAACUUUAAAUAAAAUUAUCAUAUUCCAAUGACCAUAUAUUUCUCUUAAAAUUAUUCCACAAAUUAAGUGGAUCUUUUAUAGUCAAAUAUUCAACUUUCAACCCUCCAUGGAGACGGUGACAAAGGGAGAUCACGACCAAAAUUCAAUUUAAUAACAAAAGUGAUAAAUAUAAUUCAAGAACUCAAACAUUCUCUAUCCUUUCCAAAAUAAAGAUAGUAUCCAAGUAUCAUGCAUAAUAUAAUUCAAUAUAUGAAUCUUUCUGUGUCAAAAGAGGUAAAUACUCAUAGUAAGAGUAGCUCAUAUUAGGGGUGAGCAAGAUCAGAUUCAAUUCGAAAAACUUGAUAAAAAUUUUAAAUUUUGAAUUAAAUAGUUCAAGUUAUUUGAGUUAAUCGAGUUAUUUAGAUAAACUCGAAUAAAAAAUCAAAUUUUUCGGUUUAACUCGAAUAUAAAUUAUACAAUUCGAGUUAUCUAAAAAUUCGAAUAAGAAAAGACAAAACUACGUUGUUUUGAUAAAUGUUUACCUUUUCUAAAGUUAAAAUUCAAAAUCGUUAAGUUAAAAUGCAAAACCAUUAUAUUGUUUAUGUAGUUAAAUAAUAUUGUACUUCGUCAACUAGUUAAAUAAUUGGUCCAUGUAAACGUAGCAUUGAGUAUAUAUACUAGGAUUUGUUAACUCGACUUGAAAUUUUUUGACUCGAUUCGAUUCGAUUUGAUUUGAAAAUUUUUCAAAUUGAGUUCAGUUGCUAAAAUAGAAUUCGCCAACUCAACUAACUCGAAAUUUUUUGACUCGAUUCGACUCGGCUCGAUCAAAUGCUCAUCCCUAGCUCUUACUGAAUAUAAUCUUUUACUUAUUCACAUUCUCAAUACAAGAUCCAUUAUAUUGAAUAUCUUUUAAAACUAAUGCAUUAAUCAUUACAAAUUUUGUUCUUUUAGAUAUUGAUAUAUUAGCUCUUCUAGAGCUUUAAACAUGUUGAUUUAUUUCAGUAUUGAGAUUGAUUAGAACAUAAUAUAUUAAUUAUCACAAAUUGUAUUCCUUAAAAUAUUGAUAUAUUAGCUCAUCUAUAGCUUUAAAAUAAUUUUGUAUCAUCAAAGAUUUGUUUGUUUUAUUACCAAACAAGAACAAUGCUGUAUUACAAUAUGUAUUUGACAAGUGAUUUUUCAUAUCAUAUUAAUAACAUGAGUUAUCUUUACUGAAGUGUUAUCUUGUGAACUCUCAUUGUUUUUUGUUCUCUUCUUUAUUACUAUAUUUCCACUUCUAGUGGUUUAUUAUUACGCCACUUAUUAUGUCCAUGGUAGAGGUGUUCAUGGGCCGGGCCGGGUUCGGGCCGGGCCCAGAAAAAAUUUCGGCCCGGGUCCUAGGCCCGGGCCCGGCCCGGCCCGAAAUAUGGGCCUAUAAUUUUGCCCAUGCCCGGCCCGGGAAAAAAAUUCAUAAGCCCGGGCCCGGCCCGGCCCGUUUUUUAAAUAAAUACCAAAAAUUUAUUUUAAAAAUUAAAAUAAAAAUUAAAAAAAGUAUUUUAAAAAUAUUUUAAAAUUAAAAAAAUUAAAAAAAGUAUUUUAAAAAAAUUUUAAAAAAAUUUAAAAUUAAAAAAAUUAAAAAAAAGUAUUUUAAAAGUAUUUUAAAGUUAAAAAAUAAAAAAUAAAAAUAUUUAUUAUUCGGGCCGGGCGGGGCCGGGUCAAAAAAGUGGUGCCCGAGGCCCGGCUCGUUUUUUAAUCGGGCCUCGUUUUUUUGCCCAAGCCCAUAUUUCGGGCCUAUAUUUUUACCCAAACCCUCCCAUAUUUCGGGCGGGCCGUCGGGCCGGGCCGGGCCGCCCGGCCCAUGAACACCUCUAGUCCAUGGUUAUAUCAUUAUUAUUUUUUAUGUUUGCAUUCACUUCGAGUAAAAGAUGUAAUAGGGUGAACUUCUAAACGUCCUAAUAUAUUCUUUAAUAGAAAAGGAUCAAUAUCACAAAUAUCAAUGACUUCUCAAUGUUUUAUCGAGAGACAUCCACUUCAAACUAUUUCUAUUGACUAAAAUCUUUAUAAUUCAAUAACUUCAUAAAUUUAGCUACGGGUAGGAAACCAAUAUAGAGACAAAAUACUGCCUCACGAUUAGAGGUGUCUAUGGGCCGGGCCGGGUUUGGAUUGGGCCGAGCCCGGGCCAAAAAAGUGGUGCCCGAACGGGUCGGAAUUUUUUUGCCCAAACCCAUAUUUCAGGCAGGCCGUCGGGCCGGCCGGGACACCUCUACUCACAAUACAUACAUAUAAAUAUUGUUAUGAUAAUAUAAUUUUUUAGCAUCAGAAAAAUAAACCAAUAAGAUGAACCAAAGAAGAUCAUAAUUGUUUUAUUCAUUAGUAGAACACAUAGUAAUUGAAAAAACUGGUUGAAAAAUAAAAACUUCUUACCAAAAUUGAAAUUUACCUAUACUUACACAAUAUUAAGAACAAGAAUUAAGAUCCAUUGAAUCUUUUAAUAUCUUUAGCAUCAUACAAAUAAAACAAGUUAAUUAAAUAAAUCAUAGAUAAAAUAAUAAUAAUCUCAAUAUAAAAUAUUAAAUAAAAAUUUCUUGCAAAUCCCUUCUUCUGGUGGUUGUCUUCCUUUUCCUCUCUUCCACGUUAAUUAUGUUAUACAUUUCUUUGUGCGUCUAGAUAAGAAUAUAUUGGGAGGCCAGAAUGGUUGAAGUUAGUACCUCUCUCAUCGGAGGCAUAGGUUUGAGCCAACCUGUUGCUGUUGGUUUUAUUUUCUUCAACUUGAUCCCAUAGGAUUUAUAUUCUUCUUGCAAAAGAUGUGAAAAAAAAAAUAGCUUUGUGGUUAAGGAAAGAGGGAGUAGAUGUAGGAGAUAGACUCAAUUCCCAUUUUGGUUGUUUUUUAUUGAAAUACAACUAAUUGGCUUUAUUGGUUUCUUUAUGCACAGGAUUUAAAAGGUUAGUGCACUUGAGCAGUUAUGAGUCUUAAAAGUGGGGUUUGGAUGAGUGAUUAGACGCGGUGAAGUAUAUUUAGUUUAUUUUUUGUCUUGUGUUAUAGUAUACAAUUUUAUUGUUACUGCUAUUUUUACAUUAACCGUAAAUAAAUAUACAUCAUCCAAACUAAGCCUUAGAAAAAAAUAAAAGAAGAGCAAUUUAAGAAAAAUCUUCCUAUGAUAAAAAUAAAAAUCGACAUAAGAUAACCUAUUUUAUUUAUUAACAUAUAUGUUUAUAAUCAUUUUUUAAAGCUUAUAUUUAUAGAUAUAAAACGUAUAAAUAAAAUAAGAUUUUACUUUUAUUAACUAUUAGAAUUCUAAAAUAAAUUAGACUUAGACAUUUAUUUAAUAAUAUUUUAUUUUAUUUUAUUUAUAAGAUUACAACGUCUCUUAAACACUUUAAAUUUAAUAUUUAAUUUAAAAUAAUGUGUGAUGCUUAUUAAACAAUAAAAACAAUGUGAAGUAAAAAUGUUUCUCAUGUUAAAUUUUAAAUUUAUCAAAAAAAAAUACAUUUCAUAUUUCAUAACUUAAAUAUUAUACUUAAAUUUUCUAUUCUUAUUUUUAACCAUUAAAUUUAUGAAAGAAUACUUAAAUAAAAAUAUAUUUAAUUUUCAAUAAUUUGGUUGAGAAAAUUAAAAAAGAAAAAAAAGGGAUGGUGUGAAGGCAGAGUAGGUAUGUGGGGACAUAGGAUAGGCGGAGGAGUUUGUGGAAUCUGCCACUCUCAGCCUUAGCUUGAUUGUAUUGGCCAGUGGGAGGCGUUGAGUUGAGCUGUCUGUCUGUCUGUCACGUAAAAAAGGUAAAUUAUGUGCAGAGGAAAGAGAGCACAUUUAUGGUUAUUGGUACAAAAUGUGAUCUGUCUUUUCACUUUGAACACACUUUGCUCAAGGGAUAAUUAAUAACUGGGUGGACUUAAUUAAUUUAUUCAAGCUACUUUUUUUUUUUUGGAAAUUAAUUUUCUGCAAACUGGGAAGCAUUCCAAAUUUAGUGCUGAGGUAUAGUAGUAUGACUAUGUACCAUGUUCAUUCAAGUUGUAAUAUUUGUUUAUUUAAGUCGAUGAUUAAAAUAUUCAUCGCUUCAUAAGUGUUUUAAGUUCAAAUCGUGUUAAUCACAUUGCUCUCUUAUAAUUCAAAAAAAAAUUGUUAAAUUUCUUCCGACCUGGCAAUUAACAUUAUUGGAUUUUGCUUCUAGGCUUCUACCUAUACUAUAUUAUACAUAGAAAACCUAAUAAAUGAUGAAUUAUUACCUUUUUUGCAUUUUUAAAGUGCAAUAUUAUUACUAUUAAGAAUGUGUUUGGAUGGACGAUUGGGUACGAUGCAGUGUGUUUAGUUUACUUUUUAUUUUAUGUUACAGUAUCACUAUAGUAUUUAAUCUCACUGUUAUCGCUGUUUUUAUACUAAUCGCAGGUAAAUAUUUCGUGCAUCUAAACUUACCUUAAAUGAUGUGAACUAGUCGCUAGCUGGAUUUUAAUUAUACAUAUCUUUGUUUAAGGGUGAGUUUGAAUGGACGGUGCGUUUACCUGUAGUUAGUGUAAAAACAGCAGUGACGGUGAGAUUAGAUAUUGUAGCGAUACUGUAGCGAGAGACAAAAAAUAAAUCAAACGCACUGCACCACACCGAAUUGCCCAUCCAAACCCACCCUAAAUCUCAUUCCAUAUUAUACCUGUUUGGAUCUAAAUAUAUUAUUUUUCAAAAAAAAAGUAAAAAUAUUUAAUAAUUUAACUUUUUUUUGGUUAAAUUAAAGUUAAUUAAAAAAGUAACUUUCAUUGAUUGGAGAAGCAAGUUUGUGGGAGGCUUCAAUUUUAUGAAUUCACAACUCCCAAAAACAUGAAGAAGGAAAAGGUGAGAUUCCAAGUUGCUAUUUUGGUAAUAAUUCAAAGGAGGCGGCCAAAAACAUAACCUCCCACAACAAUGUGAAGUGUGAACCCCCCAGAAUCUUUAUUUCCUAGACUUCCCUUUACCAUCAACUUCUCUUUUUCUUUUUUCUUCUCAAUAUCCACAUAUAUCUAUUUCCCUCACCAAUGCCAUCAUGCUUGCUUCAAAAAUAAAAAAUAAAAUCCAUAUCUAUUUAUAUUAUGCCUAUACUAUUCUUUUCACUUUGGUCCUUAAAGUUUUUUUUUGGCCCACUUCAAUUCCUAGCCUUAUCAAACAUUUUCGGGUUCAAUCCACCAGUUGAUGGCACAUUUUAUAUGACAAAUAUAAAUUUUGAUAUAUCAAUUAUAAACUCAGAUGAAUUGAAUUAUAAAAUAAUUAUAAUAGGUGGUAUCUGUUCAAGAGACAAUGAUCUCGUAUUCAAGCUAUAAUAAAUGUAAUUUAUAAAAUUUUAAAAAUAUUAGAAUUUGUAAAAUAUUUUAAAGGUUUUAGUAAAUUCAAUUAAGGUUUUUUUUUAUUUUUAUUUUUUGCAAUUUUCUAUUUUUAAAUUUUUAUUUUGUCUAUUUAUGUUGAAAUUAAAAAAGUAUAUAAAAAGAAAGUGAUAUUUCAAUUUUACAUGACAUGAUGACAUAACUGUUAAGACCAGUAUAAGAAGCCUAGCAGUUUGAUUUAUAUACAGUCUGGGUAAAUAGAUUUCCACUCUGCAAAUUUCAAGAUGGUCUCAACAUGAAGUCAACUAGCAGUACCUGGGAAUUUAGGCUAAACUAUGUUUUAAUCUUAUUCCAUACCCAUAUAACUUAUGCUUCAUAUAUCAAUAAGAAAGCCAUACACAAAUUCAUAAUAUGGGAGGAAACAAAAAUUAUAAUCUUCCUAAAAGAAAUAGAUUUGAGUUUAACUAUACUUUCCUAAGUAUAUUAAACAUGUUGCAUCGAUAAGUUCAUCAACACUGGGGAUGUUUCAAGUGCCAAAUGUGUGUGUGAGGUUGGAGUUUAAUUAAUAAUGAAGGCUCAACUUGCACAUCGACAACACUAUACACUUGCUCUGAAAUUCAAGAAAGAGAUUAGGGAUGAGCAGACAAGGAUUGAAGGCAAAAAGAAAAGGGGCUCUUUUCAGCAACUGGUUAUUGUUGAUUUUAAAUGAUAGUUUAUUUCAUCCCUUCUUCAGCUUCCUCUAUGGUGAAAGCAACCAAAAAGAGAACCUACCUACUGCUGUCAUGCCAUGUUGAUUUCAUCGACUCUGAUUUGCUACUAAAACAAAAUUCAUUUCAUUUGAUUAUGAGUUGUUUCUCUGCUUUAAUUGCAUUUUUUAUAUACUAAUUAUCAUCCUCAUCUUGACCCAUCCAUAUUUAGACUUUGUAAUUUGUUGAAGCAUAAAUGGUAGGAAACCCUAGUCUUUCAGAAACCAACAAAACUUGGAUAUUUCUUAUGUUGUCUCCAUAAAACAUUCAUGCACAAGUUUUAUUUUGUCUAUUUAUCUUGAUGUGAUCAUUUACAAGUCCCCUAACAUGUUAUCUAAAUCCAUUGUCAAACCUGUUUGAGUUAUAUAUUUGUUGAUGUGAUCCGGCACCCGAGGAUGGAUAUAAUCAUAUAUAUUACAGUACAAAUCAAAUAUUGUUUUUAUUGUCUUCUUUAAGUAUCAUUGAAAAAACAUAGCCUUCUUCUGCUACACCCAGUUUCUACUUCCAACGAAAGAUUCAAUUCCGCUGACAAAAACUGUGAACUCUCAAACAUAAAACGAAGCUGGAGCCAUCAGAGAUCAACGACGAAUCACUUUUGCCAUUCCAUUGAUUGUAUUGAUAUUCUCUUGAGUUGUUCGACUGGACUGAGUAGGAUUUGGUAGAGUUGAAUUCUGUAAAACAAAAGGUUAGUUAGAGAUGUCCGACCUUGUGCUCCUAAAUAUUUUUUGCUACUUAAGUCACCGACGGGUGCCGUGGUAUAGAGGAGGAAGCAAAAGAGCUUAAGAUAUAGUAAGUAAAUGGUCGAGUGUUAAGAUGUGUGUCUUAAGGUUUUUAUGCCUGAUUUUUGGGCCUUCUAGAUCAUGCUUACUAGUUAUCAGACUGUUCUUGAUGUGCUGGUCUGUUUAGUGAUUAGUUUGUGUACUCUGCAACUUUGGUUGAUUACGCUAUAUUAUGAUAGCGCUGCUAGGCAUUGUCGAUUGUCUAUUGUGCCAAUUGAUUUAUUCUCCAGUCGGUUAGGUUGGGUGUUUAAGUUUUUUAUUUUUAAACAAUAGAAGACUUGCAUACAAGCAAAAGAGUGAAAGCUCAAUACAAGUGAAUGGAAGCCUAAGCCCCAAACAAGCUCCAUACUAAAGCUCUAAUCAAACCAAAAUAAAGGCCCCCCCAAAACUACUAAACGUAAAGCCCAUGUCGGGUAGCACAGGAGAACACAACACUUGAGUCAAGCCUCCACCUCUACGAAGGAAGGAGCAAAGGAGGACUCACAUUGGUAUUAAAUUGACAAGCAAACCAUCAAAAUGAGCAUUCACUUUGAUGUGAAGAGUCGCCCUUACUCCUGUGUGGAAAGGUCUCGAUGUGAGAAAUUUCACCAAAUAUCAAUAAAAUGCGAGUCAUCAUAGACUACGGCCCAACAAAACAUACGAGCAUAAAGAUCAUUUUGGCAAACUCGCCGGAGUAGGGGUGAACAGUGGGGGCGGCGACCGACAGUUCAACGGCGCCAAAGGCCCCUUGUUUAACUAUAACUAGUAGAAUAGGCUCUUCAGCUGUCACUCCACUGUACAGUUUGGCAAUGCGUUGUCAAGAUUAUGUUACCAAUACCAUUGUUACCAAACUAUUUUCCUUCUCUUAUUUAGUAAGUUGUAUUUUAUUUGCUUUAGCAUGUAUCUAGCUAAGCCCUUUGCUUGUCAUUGUCUGCCCCAAAAAAGGAACACCGCUGCUACUUUCGGUUGCUGGCAAGCAAAAACCUCUUCCCCAAUUAUAUAUAUUUACGUUACUCGCAACACAAUUUUCUCAAAGCAAAAAACCCUUGUAUCUUUUUGAGCAGAAGAGCCAACAUGAGCAGUAUCUGCACAUCUUUCAACAUCAUAACACACCAAGGUUUUCCUCUGUUCCAAAACUGUAUUCGAUGUUGUUUUAAAAGCUCUAUUCAUCACAAAUAUGAUAUCACAUGUUUUCACUCUUUCAUGCUUUGUUGGUAAAACCAUCACAUUACUCUAGCGGAUUACAUUUUAUUUUUUUAUUUAAAAAAUAAAUUAGUUUCUAUACAUUAAAUUAAAGAUUAAAGAGUAAAUCAAUUUUUUAUUAAAAAUAAAAAUUGAUGGAAAUUUUAACAAGGCUUCCAUUUUACUUUUACCAUGGUUUGUUUGCACUAUAUUUGUUCAGAUAUCGUUAUAAUAAAUGUCAGUAAUGGCAAUAGAAUGAUCGCAAAAUAAGAACAGAGAAGAAGAAAUUCACUAAUGUUGAAUAACAAAUAAUGCAAAAGGAGUUUCAACUACAUCUAUUUAAAGGUUGAAAAACAUUAUUCUAAUAAAUGUCAAAUAGAAGAAGCGUAGUUCUUUAUGGAUUCUACUUGUGCGGCAUGGUUGAAAGAUCUCGGCCUCUCACCCCCACAUAUCCCCUUAUUUUGUCACUAUAUCUAUUUCUUCAACAAGUGACGAGAUUCGGGUCACACAAACUCUAACACAUAUGUUGCAUUAAAUUGUUGAUGCUAUAUUAAUCCGCACAUGUUAACUCAUAUUACCCUAUAAAAAUAAAUAUACUUAAAAGGUUUUUUAUUUUUUCAAUAUAGCUUGUUGACACCAUUUUUUGAUAAAACGGGAUCGACUUGGGUUUUGAAAAAUGAAAUCGAAUGUGGGAGUCGCCACCAAUCUUUUUUUGAUGAGGUGUGAUCGGAUCACCUCGAAAAGUGGUUGUUUUUAAUAAAUGAUUUGAUUUUAUUAAAACAACGAUUUUGGUCCACGUAAUUAAAAAAAAACAGGUUUGGGAGUCAGUUACGUACGAGGAAGGGUUAACACCCUCAUAAUGUCCAAAAAUUGGUACCUAGUUGAUUAGUUAAUGUCUUGAUGUCGAAAAUUUAAAAUUUGGAAGAAUUUUAAAAAUACGAUCCUUGUAUUAAAACGUUGAAAAUUUCCAGGAAAAGGGGCAAACUUUACGUUAAUCGAGAAAGAGAAUCAUAUCCAGUAAGUUAGGACACAAUGUCUCGAAUUUUCGAUACGCGAAUGAAUGCUAAAAAUUUGCUUAUUUUAAAAGAUAUUUAGCCAUCUCGAAUUUUUAAAAAAAGAUAUCAGACCCAGUAAGUUAGGACUUGAUCUUUUUUUUUUUAAUUUUCGAGACCGUUUAAAGCUUAAGUUCGAAAAAGAUUCGUGCAUUUAGAUUCAUCGUGAAAAUCGAAACCCAGUAAGUUAAGGUAUGACCUUCUUAAAAUCUAAACAUACGAAAUGCCAUUUUUUAGAAUAAAUUUUGACAUAUUGAGUGAAAUAAAACAUGAUGUUGUGAUAAAAAGAAUGCGAAAAUAGAUGAUAUUGCUGAUAUACAUAGCAGAACAAUAAUGUAUACAGUAGUGUAAAGAUAAUAUGAGCAACAUCAACAAAAUAAGAUAAAUAAAAAGGACAAAUCCAUAAUAUACAAAACAAAUAUACAAACAAAUAAUAUUAAAACAUUCUAAAAAAAUAAAAAUAAAAGAAAUAAUAAUCAUGAAAAAAAACGUAGAUAAAUAAACGAAUCAAGAAAAAUGAAUAAAAUUAUAAUAAUAUAAAAAAGAUAUAUAAGUAUGUAUAUAUAUGUAAAUCAAAGAUAUAUAAUUAAAUUUAAAAUUGAAAAAAAAGAGUGCAAAUGAGUAACUAAUAAUGAUGAUGAUGAUAAUAAUAAUAAUAAUAAUAAUAAUAAUAAUAAUAAUAAUAAUAAUAAUAAUAAUAAUAAUAAUGGUAAAAAUAAAAAAUAAUAAUAUGAGUAAUAAUAAAACAAUAGUAAUAGGGGUAAUAAUAAUGAUUAAAGUUAAUUAAUUUAAUACAAAUAACAAAAAAAAGGACUAAUUUGAACUUUAAAGCAGAAAUUAAGGGUAAAUCUGCAAAUAAAUUAAAAGAAAAGGACCGAAUAGAGUGCGCGAAUAACAAAGAGAGACUAAAGGGGAAAAUAUUCCCUCCCUCCAAAACGCAGCGCUUUACACGGGACUCAAAUGAAAUCAAAAUAAAAUUUUAAGGCCAAAUUAAAAUAAAUAACAUAAGAUAGGACCCAAAUGUAACCAGUCUCAAAAGCGGAAGGACUAGAGGAGCAAAUAGCCCCCUUGUCCAAAAACACGUGGAUCCUAGGCGGGUCGGGUCGGUUUCAGGUCAGCCUCCCCAAAACGAUGCCGUUUUGGCGUCUGGGGAGGCCAAGCUAAACGGCGCCGUUUCAUACAGGCUAUAAUUGCCAAAUUUUUUUCAGAAUUCCUCAUUUUCAUCCCUUUUUAAAAAAAAAAACUGAGCAACCCUCUCCCAUUUUCUCUCAAAACAACUGGCCUUUGUGUGGCCAGUGGCACAAAAUCGGACCUUUUUGGUCCCUUUUUGAAGCUGAAUGUCUCUAGGACACGGAUUCAGGGCUAAAUCUGUCAAUAGAUGGGCCAAACUCAGAAAAACAAGAGGAAAUCGUUCGCCUUUCCCCUCCGGCGCGACACAGGUAAACUCCAUUCACCUUUCUUUUAUUUCUUUGUAUUUAGAAACGAAAACAAAAUCAAAACGAAACAAAAUAACAGAUCUAAAAAAAGGGCAUUAAUCACCUUAAGAAUUUUUUUCUUUUUUUUUUGAAUCCUCUUUUUAUUUCCUGAUGUUCAUAAAAAAAGGGGGGUCGAACCCCUACAACUGAUUUUUGCUUGGCUUUUAUAGCCAUUUUACAAGCUUUUUUAAAUACAUUUUUUUGUCACUCCAGUUGCAGACGCAAGUGGGGUGAGAGUCGGUGGUGGCAGUUACGGCAAUAGCAGAGGGCAGGUGGCGAGGCUGGUGGUUGCAGCGCUAGGCUAGGGUUUCAGAAAACUGAAACCCUAGUUUGACCAUUGAGGUUGACUUUGGGCCCAAUGUAUUUGGGCUUGAUUAUUGGGCCAUUAUUUUUUGUUUUGUUGGGUUUUGGGUGUUGUUUGGGUUUGUAUUGGUUUUGGGCCCGAACAGAAUGGGUCUGUACAACUGCCCAUCUUUGCUCGUUGUUGUGUAACGGGAACAGAGCAAAGACUAAGAAAGACCAAUUUUGCCUGGCCUCGCCAAGUUUCAACUUCUUUUGACGCUUCUCUUCUUCAAAUAACCCCAUUCCAAUUCACUGUGUCUUAUCGCUUCAAUCCAUUCCACUACACUUCAGGGAGAUCUGACUUGUAGCUUCAAUCUUCUUCGCAUCAACUUUGGGGUACGAGAUUUAUGGUUUUAGUCUAUUCCACUGCAAUGUCAAUGAGAUAAGACUGGAUGCGAUCUGCUCUACUGCAACUUCAGAGAGAUAAAAUUCGUGGUUUCAAUCCGUUCCACUACAAUUUCAGAGAGAUACGGCUUGUAUUCUUCUGUCUGUUUAAUUGCAAUGUCGGGGAAGCAAGAUUCACCGUCGUAGCUUCAAUCUGUUCCAAUGCACCGCUAGGAAAGUAAGAUUCGCCGUUGUGGCUUCAAUCUUUUAAUUGCAAUGUCAAGGAGAUAAGAUUCGUUGUUAUAACUUUAAUCUGUUCCACUGCACCGCCAGAGAAGUAAGAUUCGCCGUUGUGGCCUCAAUUUUUUAAUUGUAUGUCGGGGAAGCAAGAUUCGCUGUUGUAGCUUCAACCUGUUCCACUGCACCGCCCUAAAAGUAAGAUUCACCGUUGUGGCCUUAAUCUUUUAAUUGCAAUAUCGGGGAAGCAAGAUUUGCUGUUGUAGCUUCAAUCUGUUCCACUGCACCGCCUGGAAAGUAAGAUUCGCCGUUGUGGCCUUAAUCUUUUAAUUGCAAUAUCGGGGAAGCAAGAUUUGCUGUUGUAGCUUCAAUUUGUUCCACUGCACCGCCAGGGAAGUAAGAUUCAUCGUUGUGGCUUAAAUCUAUUUAACUACAAUGUCGGGGAAGCAAGAUUCGCCGUUGUAGCUUCAAUCUGUUCCACUGCACCACUUGGGAAGUAAGAUUCGCCGUUGUGGCUUUAAUCUUUUAAUUACAAUGUCGGGGAAAUGAGAUUCACCGUUGUAGCUUCAAUCUGUUCCACUGCACAGCUUGGAAAGUAAGAUUUGUCGUUGUGGCUUCAAUCUUUUUAAUUGCAAACUAUGGUUUCUUUGAUCUGCUUUACUGUCAAUUCACGAAGGCAAAAUCUGCCAUCUUCAUUGAUCUGUUCUUUGGGAAACAUGACCUGUAUAACCUAUUUUAUGAACCUAUUUCUGCCUAGUGAUUAUGAUCGAAAUGAAUCAAAAUAUCCUGGCUAAAUGUGUAUGCAUGAACGCAAAAUGAAAAUGAUCUCUCAAUGUUUGAGGUGUUAUUGCCCAUUGCUCAAUAAGACGUUAUUGCCAACAUGUCAGAAUGCUAUUUUGUCCGGUUGGUAAUGCUCAUCUCUUACUUGAUCGGAUUGCCCCCACUGUAAUCUUCAAAGUUUAAUCCGUUGUGAUUUUCAAGGUUAAGCCCACUGUAAUUUUGGGACAUAAAAUUCAAAACCAUCAUCCUCCUACUGCAAUUUAGGAGUAUAAGAUCUGGCUUCUUCUGAAAUCUCUCCCACUGCAAAUCGGGGAUACAAGAUCUGAAUCUCCUUAGUUUUUUACACUAUUCCCAAGGUGUCGUACCAAGUGUUUAUACACAACUGUAAGACUUUUUCUUCUGAGAAAACCUCUUCUUAUCACUCGGUGAUCAUUAAUUGUUUGUUUAUUGAAGUUUUGUCACAAAUACGACAUCUUGUCAUUUUGUUUAAUCAAUGUUUGGGCAACAAAAUCCGAAAGGAUAGUCUUAAUUUAGGCCUUCCCUUCUUAAACAUUUCAAACUUUAAACUUGGUGUGUUCUAAACAACAGUCAUGUUUCAGGUUCCUAUAUUAUUUAGAAAUUUCUAGAGUAAUAUACAAAACUCCUUUUGCUUGAACAUUCAGUCCAUUAAUCAUUAUUUCAAUGUUUGAAAAAGAUUAUCACAAUGGACAAACAAAAUGUUAUUGAGAACAAAUCUUGAAAUGAAUAGGUUAAUCAAGAUAGCAAAUUUUGUUAAAUAAGAUGAAAAAGACAAUGGACAAGAUGGAAUUUUAUUGAGAGCAAAGCUUGAAAUGAAUAUAUUAAUCAAGAUAGCAAAUUUUGCCAAGAUUCAAAACAAAUAAGAUGACGAUAGGUGCCCAGAUAUCGCAGCACGAGCUUCCCUGUAUAAGCUUUCUAAAAAACAUUCUGAAUUUGAUAUGUGUUUAGGAAAUCUACAGUACUUUGUCGAUGCCCCAAGAUGUCGCCCACCCUUUUCUUGUUGAUUCAGGUAUAGCGAGACCACCACAUGCUCCAGAUCUUGAUCAAAAUUUGAUAUGCUCCGAUCAACUCAGGUCCCAUCAAAAUUUGAGCCACCGUUUUCAGGUUUUCAACUCAAAUCCCCUUUGGUCUCACGGCGCCCUUUAUGGGUUUUCACCUUAGCCUCUCCUUUUUUUUUUGGACUUAAAGUGCAAUUUACGGGUUUUCACUUUGGUCCUCCUCAUUUAAGUGAAGUAUUUCUUAACUUAAUUUGAGUUUAUAGGAUUUGGCAAGCUUUUACCAUCCAUCUCGCUCAAGAUUAGAGCUCCUCCAGAAGAGGCCUUCUUUACGAUAUAAGAACCUUCCCAAUUUGACAUCCAUUUCCCUCUAAAAUCUUUUUGUAGAGGAAGAACCUUUUUCAACACUAGGUCCCCCUCGUGAAAUUCUCUGGGGCAAACCUUUUUGCUAUAGGCUCGCAUCAUUCGUUUCUGAUACAUGUGACAGUGACGAAUGGUUUUUAGCCUCUUUUCUUCUAUAAAGUUUAGCUGAUCAUAUCGAGAUUGAAUCUAUUUGGCCUUAUCUAACUUUAGUUCAGCUAAUACCCGUAGAUAAGGGAUUUCGACUUCUAUGGGUAAAAUCGCCUCUAUCCCAUAGACUAAAGAAAAUAGUGUUGCUCCAGUAGAAGUCCUAAUAGAUGUUCGAUAUACUAGGAGAGCAGAAGGUAAUUUCUCGUGCGAGCCCUUGUAGGUCUCAGUUAUUUUCCCUACAAUUUUCUUGAUAUUUUUGUUAGCUGUUUCCACGGCACCAUUCAUGUUUGGGCGGUACGGUGACGAAUUAUGGUGUCUGAUCUUGAACUGAUUACAAACUUCCACUAUUAAGUUGUUGUUCAAGUUUAGCGCAUUGUCAGAUAUGAUCCUUUCAGGCAUUCCGUAUCGACAUAUAAUAUUCUUUUUCAAAAACUUGCUAACUGCUAAUUUCGUGACGUUAGAAUAUGAAGUAACCUCAACCCAUUUAGUGAAAUAAUCAAUAACCACAAAGAUAAAACGAUGCCCAUUAGAAGCCUUUGGAGAUAUUGGCCCGAUGACAUCCAUUCCCCACAUGGAGAAUGGCCAUGGAGAGGUCAUAACGUGAAGGGGUGAAGGUGGUGCGUGCAUUUUGUCACCAAAAAUUUGACAUUUAUGACACUUUUUGGAAUAAUUAACGCAAUCCCCUACCAUGGUGGACCAAUAGUACCUAAAUCUCAUAAUCUGUUUAGCCAUUGUGAAGCCAUUAGUAUGCGUUCCACAGAUAUCUUCAUGGACUUCUUCCAAAAUUUUCUUAGCCUCCACAACAUCCACGCAUCUAAACAAUACUUGAUCCUUUCCCCUAUUGUACAAAAUCUCUUCAUCUAGGACAUAGUCAAUAGCCAGCCUCCUUAAUGCCUUUUUGUCAUUUUCUGUCGCAUGGUUGGGGUAUUCACGAUUCUUUACAUAUCGUAGUAUGUCUUGGUACCAUGGAUGGUCAUAAUUUUCCUCUUCUUCAAUACUGUAGCAAGUAGCUGGGGUCUCAUGAAUGCUGAUCUGAAUAAGCUUCAUAUCUUCUGGUUUGUUCACUUUGAUCAUAGAGGCUAGAGUAGCCAAGGCAUCAGCCAUCUGGUUUUCGUCUCGUGAGAGUUAACAAAAGGUGACACUGUCAAACUCCUCAAUCAAUUCCAGAACUAAUUUUUGAUAGCGGACUAACUUAGGGUCUCUCGUUUCCUGUUCCCCUUUGAGCUGGUAAAUUACUAAUGCAGAGUCUCAGUAUAUCUCUAGUAUCUUAAUUUUUCGCUCUAUGGCUGCCCGGAUGCCCAUGAUGCAAGCUUCAUACUCAGUCAUGUUAUUGGUGCAAUCGAAAUCCAAUUUACUGGUAAAAGGAUAAUGAUCUCUAUUAGGGGACCCUAGGACUGCCCCAAUUCCAUUGCCUACAGCAUUCAAAGCUCCGUUAAAGUUUAACUUCCAAUGAUGAUUUUUAUGGGAAUCCUCUUCAGCGGUUGCCACAUACAUCAAGUCUUCAUUCGAGAAAUUAUAAUUCAGAGGUUCAUAGUCUUCUAAAGCUCUGCUGGCCAAGAAUUCUGCAAUCGCACUCCCUUUGAUAGCCUUCUAAUUUACGUAAACUAUAUCAAAUUCGGAGAGUAGGAUCUGCCACCUAGCCAUCCUCCCGUUCAAUGCUGUUGACUCCAUCAUAUACUUUAAAAGGUCUAACUUUAAAAUUAACCAAGUCGUAUGAUAGAACAUGUAUUGCCUCAAUCUUCAUGUCGUCCAGAUCAGGGCACAAUAUAAUUUUAUAAUAGGCGAAUACCUCAUUUCACAGUUAGUAAAUUUCUGACUAAGAUAAUAGAUCGCCUUUUCCUUCUUUCCCGUCGCAUCAUGUUGACCUAGCACACAUCCCAUAGAGUUGUCGAACACUGUUAAAUAUAGCACCAAUGGUUUAUCCGGCCUAGGUGACGACAACACUGGAGUAUUGGACAAGUACUAUUUUAUCUUGUCAAAAGCCUCCUGGCAUUCUUCAUUCCACACAUCUGGAUUAUUUUUCUUCAGAAGACGAAAUAUGGGGUCAUAUUUCUCGGUCAAUUGCAAAAUGAACCAAGCAAUAUAAUUCAGCCUUCUUAAGAAACCUCGAACUUCUUUCCGAGUACGUGGUGAAGGCAAAUCUCGAAUUGCCCUGACUUCGCCUGGGUCUAUUUCAAUCCCUUUUUCACUGACUACAAACCCUAGGAGUUUUCCUAACCUAGCUCUAAAAAUAAAACUUUCUUAAGACUUGCACAUGUUCUCUUUCCGUCUGGAACUUUGUGAUCAUGUCAUCAACAUAUACCUCAAUCUUCUCAUGCAUCGUAUCGUAGAAAAGGGUCACCAUGGCUCUCAGGUAUAUGGCUCCUGUAUUUUUCAACCCAAAUGGCAUCACUUUAUAACAGAAAGUCCCCAAUAAGGUUAUGAACGUAGUUUUCUUCAUAUCUUCAAGAUGCAUCUUAAUUUGGUUAUAUCUCGAGAAACCAUCCAUAAAUGAAAACAGUGAGUGCCCUGCUAUGUUAUCUACGAGAGUGUCGAUGUGAGGUAAAGGAAAAUUAUUUUUCGGGCUAGCUUUAUUCAAAUCUCUGUAAUAUACACACAUUCGUACUUUCCCAUCUUUCUUAGGGACGGGUACAAUGUUGGCUACCCAUUCGGAGUAUUUGACCACUUGUAAGAAUCCAGCAUCGAAUUGCUUUUGAACCUCUUCUUUUAUUUUUAGUACAACAUCAGGCUUCAUUCUUCGAAGUUUUUGCUGAACUGGCUCGCAAUCCUCAUUUAUAGGAAGACGGUGAACUACAAUAUCGGUAUUUAAGCUAGACAUUUCCUGGUAUGACCAUGCGAAGACGUUUUUGAACUCUCGAAGCAACUCAAUAAAGACUUGUUUUGUUUCUUCAGCUAUGCAUGUUCCAAUCUUCACCACAUUUCCCUCUUCUAGGAUCAUAGUCUCCACCGUCUCCUUAUGAGGUAGGAUUUGUUUUUCCUCCUGCUCUACCAUACUCAACAAGUCCGGAGAUAGGUUGUAAUCUAUGUUAUCUUCAAAAUCAUGAGAUUCCUCUAAACAAAUAUCCUAUUCAAAAGGAUUUUUCGAAUUUAUAGUAGAGUCACUCAUGUCAUUGAUAUCUUGGGACCUGUUAUAGGUACCAAAGAAUCUACAAGGAAUGUAUGAAUUUAAGAAUACUUAUUUAUAGUAUGGUCAUGAAUUAAUGAAAGAAUGAUUUGGAAUAAAUCUAAAAUGACUAUUCGUACGAAAGAAUGAAAGAAUCUUUAAAGAAUAUAUGCUCAAAAAGAAAUUACGAAGAUAUAUUUCAUUGAAGUCACAAUGUUCAAUAAUAUGCCCAUUUCAUAAAAAGUUUUCAUUGUCUCUAGGCUUAAAAAAAUUAGUAUGUUUUGAAUAUUACUCUAGAAAAGCUCAAAAAACUUCAGGUAUUUCUUCUGCAGUCCAAUUAUUUAGAACACUCCUAGGUUCAUAAGGACGGAUGCCUGAUAUACUUUCUUCUUCGGAUUUUUCUUUGAAUAUGGUAUUGAUGUUCAGGUCUCCUAACAUUUUCUCCGUGGUCUCCUUUCUUGGCGUCAUCAGUCCAGAAUACAUGGUUCCCCCUGGUACGAAGGUCCUGGAUAUGUGGGGGAAAAUUAUAGGUUCUCAAUUAACUUCUUCUCUAUUCAAAUGCGCCAUCCUCCUCUCUUGUCUUUUCUCUAACUCUUUCCUUCUCUACCUAGCAUUUGGCUUAAAUCCUAAACCGAAGCGAUCUCGUUUAUCUUUAACCAUUGGUGCCUCUAUUAUUCCUUGAAGGCAUAUUCCAAGUCCUCUCCCAGGCACAGGUCAUUUCCCAACUGUCAUUUGUAGUCCUAUCCUCGUGGCUCUAGAUAUGCUGGGCAUCGAGAUCUUUUUUCCCUCGACAACAAAGGUCACAUUUACGAAUUCUAAGGAUCGAAAGGAACAUUUGAUUGCCUCAUCAUCCGUUCCCAAAUAUGGUGCGUCACUGGUUACCGAUGCAAUGAUGUCUUCUUCAGCGCUUAUCGUAACUAACCGGCCUUCUGUUACCAAUUUCAACUUCUGGUGUAAUGAUGAAGGCACCGCUCCUGCUGAAUGAAUCCAAGGUCUUCCCAAAAAGCAAUUAUAUGUAGGUUUGAUAUCCAUCACUAAGAAAUCCACCUCGUAUGUAUUCGGGCCAAUCAAGAGGGGUAUUUCUAUUAUCCCCAUCACCCUCCUUUCGGCACCAUCGAAUGUUUUACUAUAUUUUGGCAUGAUUUCAUGUGAGAGCUAUCCACCAGUAACCUAUUUAAGGUGGAUACGGGUAAGACAUUCAAGGCCGAUCCAUUAUCGAUUAGCACCCCUGGUAACGUAUAUUCCCCGCAGCGAGUAGUGAUAUGUAGGGCUUUGGUGGCUCAUCUUCCCCCCGGUGGUAUUUCAUCAUCAUUAAAGAAAAUGAAAUUGUCGGCACUUAUAUUGCUAACCAAGCGGUCUAACUUGUUUAUCGAGAUAUCGUUAGCGACAUAAGUUUCAUUUAGUAUGUGUCUCUGAACUUAGAAGUAGCUUAAGCAUCGAGAUACAAGCCGGUUGCUUAUGUAGUUGUUCCACCACACUAUACUCGCUAUGCUUUAAGAAUUUUAGAAAUUCUCUAGCCUCAUUUUCAGUUACCGGCUGAUUAACAUGCGAUUUAAUUCUGUCCGUUUUUGCUUUCCCCCGCUCAACUGCUAAGGCUUUUCCUUUUGCGAAUUCCACUCCUGCAUUUGUCGAAUCAUAGCGUUUUCUACUUCCCGUAUAGAAGCCUACAUCCUCUUUUGAAGUAUUUACCAAGUUCUCUUCUCUUGGGGUUGUCACGUUGCAGUCGUAAUUCGAAGGAACCUUUUUGCUAUCCUUGUAGGGAAAGGAUACAGGUUUUUGGAUUAUGACCUUGGGCGCUAUUAGUAUUCCAGAUUCUGUGCUCCUCGGCUUUGAAAUAAUCACCAGUGGGUGAUUAACCCUUUGGGCUUUCCCUGCAGAUCCUUCCUCUAAGGCAUAAACUUCUCCCUCUUCUAGUCUCUUGAUCUCUUCAUAAAACUCCAACUCUUUAUUAUCCAUUAAGUUUUGCACCAUGGUUCUGAACUUGGUGCAUUUUUGGAUAUCGUGGCCUUCUUUCACAUGGAACUCACAAAACUACCUUGUUCCCUCAAGCAUUUUCAUUAAAUCUUGCUUGAUUAGACCUCCUUCUAUCAUUCGUUUCCAAACCCAUUCAAAUGGAGCUUUUAUCUCUGCUACACUAGCUUUGACUCUCAUUCCUCCAUUUUUAAUUAUCGCGUUCACCCCUUUAUCAGCAUGAUUGGGUAACGAAUUCCCUGCUACGUUUGGUCUUGACGGGUCACCAAAUUUUACGAUCCCCAUAUUGAUAAAUUUUUUAACUAACUUCUUGAAUGUAGUGUAGUUUUCAAUCGAGUGCCCCGUAGCCCCUAUGUGAUACUCGCAUUGGGUGUUCGCAUCGUACCAUUUAGGGUGUGGAGGUUGCAUGGGUUUUAGGUAGUAUGGAGAUACCACAUGUGCAUCGAAUAAGUUCUGGUACAUCUCUCUAUACGUCACUAGGAUGGGUGUGAAUUGGGGUCUUUCUACAUUUGUCCUUGGAUUGGAUUCCUGUUUUGAAGAAUGUUGAUGAUUAGUGGUUACUGCUCUUGCUUGUCCCACCGUGAUUGGUUUAGAAUAGUCAUUAUUAAACAUACUUGCAUUGUUUAUCUCGUGCUCUUUCUUUCUUGGGGCUGACUUUUUCGUACUUUCUCCUGCUUCUAUCUUGCCACAUCUUAUGGCAUUCUCUAUCAUUUCCCCAGACAUCACUAUAUCUAAAAAGCUUUUAGUGGCACUGCCCAAUAUGUGAUUGAGAAAUAGAGCCUUCACAGUAUUGAUAAAAAGUAUGAUUGUUUCUUUUUCCAAAAGUGGUGGUUGAACUUGCGUUGCCACAUCUCUCUACCAUUGGGCGUACUGUCUGAAGCUCUCACUAGGCUUCUUUUCCAUGUUCUACAACACAAUUCGAUUAGGUGCUAUAUCCAUCACAUGUCUGUACUACUUCAUAAAGGCCUGCGCCAAAUCUUUCCAUGAGUGGAUGUUGGCCCGGCUCAAUUGGUUAUACCAUCUUGCCGCUGACCCGAUCAAGCUGUCUUAGAAGCAGUGAAUCAACAGUGGGUCAUUGUUGAUGUAUCCCGUCAUCCUUAUACAGAACAUAGUGACAUGAGAUUCGGGGCAACUAGUCCCGUUAUACUUCUCAAACUUCAGCAUUUUAAAUUUGGGAGGGAGCACCAUAUCAGGGACCAAGCUCAAAUCUUUAGCGUCUAUUCCUCGAUGGUAAUCGGUAUUUUCUACGGUUUUAAACUUUUCCUCUAACCAUUUACACCAGUCUUCUAGUUGUUUUGGCAGGUCCACUCUUGCCUUCUCCAUUUCUGCUAUGUCGUCGAGAUCAAGAAUCACGGGAUUGGUAGGAUUAUCCCUAGGAUUAGAACUCGAGCCUGUUUGGAAGUUCAUUGACGCCGGGGCACCGACUUGGUAUUGGGAUCUAAUGGCGACAAGUACCCUAUGUGGGUACACCCCUUGUUGCGCCUGGAUAUUAGUUGGGGUGAAACCUGAAGGAUAUUCGUGAUCAUCCCUAGAAUUUACCACAGAGCUCUUCCCCUUAUCAUGCCCCCAGCCAUUAACUGUUUUAAACGACUCAAUAAAUCUCUUUGAGAUUCUUCCAUGUCUUGCUGUAUUUUAGCUAGUUUUUCUUGCAUCUGAUCUUGCAUCUCCUUUUGUAAUUGUUCUAGUCUUUCUAAUCUCUGACCCAUUGCUUUUGUUCUGCGAAGUGUACCGUAGUGAUAUCUAGUUAGCAGAGCUUUGUUAGUUUCUAGGGUAACUGUCAUAAUUUUAAUUAAUUAGGGCUAUUUUUUGAAACCUUAAUGCAGAUGAUAAAAUGCAAUGCAGACGAACGGAUGCAAAAAGAUGUAUUGAUUCUAAGUGGAUUACAUAUACGGCUUCGCCUUUAUACUCAAAGCCUUAACCUUCUUAAGGAGCGAAGCUAGCUCUCGACCUCAGCUUGAUUCUGAUUCAUAUUUUACACUCAAUACAUUAGCCUGAACUGCUAAGGUUUGCAGAUGAUCAGCUACUUCCCGAACUUGAGUUACAGCUUCACCCAUAAUGUAAUCCCUAUCUCUAAUUUGACUUUGGGAAUGAUGGAGCUACUUUUGGCACUGUUCGUUAUGCCUCUCAAGAAGUUCCACUCGUAAUUCAGUGUUUUGUAAUGCAUCUUCAAGCUCUUUUAUCCUUCCCAUUAAUUCUUCAAUCUUCCUUAAACUUGCUUUCAACUCGAUCAUAGAGUUACGACUACGGUGCAGGUAAAGCGACUUUUCUAACUCCGCUACCUGAGCUUUUAAUCUUGCUUCUUCAUUCUGGCAUUCUGACAAUCUUUCCUCCAAAGCGCUCUCUCAAGCUUGGGCGUCCUGAAAUUUCUUUUCCCAUUGAUCAGCUCUAGUCUUUUCUUCCUUGAUCUCCUUUCACCAUUACUCCGACGUUUUACCUAAACCCGCAGUCCUUAUUGACAAACGCAGCUUCUUAUAAUCCGCUUUCAGACUAUUUAAAUCCUCCUCCGCCUUGUUCUUCCAUUUCCUUAAUUUUUCAGCUUCCAAUUUGUGGAUAUCAACAUCUAAUCCCAAACGCAACUUUUCCUCUUUUAGCUGCUCUAUCUUCUUUCCCAAUUCUAAACUUCUAUUUUCGAAGUCCUAUUUGAUGAUCUCUAAUUCUGACGGAACUACUUGUAGAUGCUCCUCUAUUGGUCGAACAUCUUCUUGGCUUGACACAGAAAUAUUAUCUUUGAUCCUCAUUUCCCUCCACCAACUAUAUUCGGGAGUUGUCAUUGGACUUGCGGCAAGUAUCUUCAUUCUACGGGUCGAACACCUUCUUCUUGUUAUUUUUUUUCCUGUAUGAAAAUUCACAUUGUGCCAACCCCUGAGUUACCGAUAUGAACUGUCUAGAUCUAUACUGUUUCAAGACUAGCAAAGGUGCGUACCAAUGGCUCUCCAAAAUCUCAGCAAAAGAACCUAAUCAAACUCUCCACAUCGGUAUAAAAUCUUAUUAGGGAUCAUCCACAGGGCUCUCCAGUCGACAUCCUCAUCUUGAAGAUUUUGGAGAAUCAUCAUCCAUUUUUCCUUCGUGAUGUCGUCUUGUUUUGGUGUAGCCAGUAAUUUCUUUAAUGGGGAGUAGUUCUCUGAGAAGACACGAUAUGAUAUUUUUUCCACCUUCCAAAAGUGACUAUGGAACCAUACCAAUAACAGUUGCGCGCACCCGAUGAACCUUCCAUCACCCGCUAUUUGACACGCAUUUAGAGAUCUAAAGGUUUUAGCCAAAAUAGCUGAGACUGGUGUGACCCUCUUGUCGAGUCGGUCAAACAAAUCUGCAACUGCAUCCUUAGGAUGCCCUAAUGCUUUGGGGAAGACGACUAACCCAUAAAUGCUUAAGGCGAAGAUAUCAACCCUUUUUCUCAUAUUCGGAUGUGCCAAGAUCAGAUCUCGCAGAUUUUCCAAGGUAUGUACUCGCAGAUUUUCCAAGGUAUGUACUUGUUGUCUCCCUUUUGCUUAAAUCCAGGCUGCGACCCUUUGCUCGUUCAUUCCGGUAAUAUUCAUUAAUUUCUUCAAGAAUGUCGGGACAUAAGCCGCUUUAGGCUUAUCGACUUGGAUCCUCGGACACCGUAGCAAGGUCGUAUAUUAUUCUAUUAUGGGUACCAAAUCUACCUUCCCAAACGUGAAACAACUUUAGGCUAGAUUCCAGUAUUGCGUGAGAGCUUGAAAUAAACGCUUGUCUACUUUUACUUCAAGCAAAUAAGACAGAUCACCAUAAUUACUGUAAAAAAGCUGCUUGAUCUUGUUAUUCCACUGAUAUCAUAUCUCUUUCAACUCUUGUAAACUAUUCUGAGCCACAUUAAUGCGAGUGAAGUCCCAUAAUUCUGACACGUACCCUUCCAUGAGGAUGUCACCCUUUUCUUGCUGAACUUUUUCAGACCAAACUCGGACAGCCGCAUUAUCUUCCACUUUACCAAGAAACUCUCCUUCCAUGUUGAGUUCGCUAUUUAGAUACCGAACGUGAACCGACACCUCUUUAAAAUGAAAAUGUCAUGUAAUAAAAAUCAAAACAAAACAAAACAGAUUAUUACAAAUCGAAAGUAAGCAAUAAAAAUACAUAGAGAACUUAUUCAGGUAACCACUAGGGUUUGAAGUGGUUCUACCUAGGGUAGGCUCUUAGGUUCACUACAUGCGGUUCAGCUCUAAAGCAAAGGUACCCGAACCAGCAGAUUCCUCGAUCCUCAUCCAUUAUAGGCUCAUAUGGACCGAGUUCAGUUCAGGGGAAUACAUUUUCCUAUGGCUACACGGAGAUAAAAAUCUCACGAAGAAUAGGUACGGAUGUAUCCCGAAAGCGAUCCACUAUCCUGCUCGGAUGUAAAAUCCUCACGAAGGAGUAGCUUCUCACUCCCACUUAAAAAGGUGUGACCAACAGUCAUGCAAUGCAAUGUGCAGAGAUAUAAAAAUUUAAAAAUACUAAACCUGAUGAAGACUAUAACUCAAAACACAUGAAAUGCAAUGAAAGGAUCGUAUAUUUAAACCAAGUUUUCAAUUUUUGACAAAAAGACAAAAAAAAAAUCAACUUGUGUCUUGACUCUCUUAUUUUAAGUCCCCAGUGGAGUCGUCAAGCUGUUGACAUUAUUUUUUGAUAAAACGGGGUCGACUUGGGUUUCGAAAAAUGAAAUCGAAUGUGGGAGUCGCCGCCAAUCUUUUUUUGAUGAGGUAUGAUUGGAUCACCUCAAAAAGUGGUUGUUUUUAAUAAAUGAUUUGAUUUUAUUAAAACAACGAUUUUGGUCCACGAAAUUUAGAAAAAAGGGGUUCGGGAUUCGGUUACGUACGAGGAAUGAUUAGCACCCUCAUAACGCCCAAAAAUUGGUACCUAGUUGAUUAGUUAAUGUCUUGAUGUCGAAAAUUUAAAACUUGGAAGAAUUUUAAAAAUACGAUCCUUGUAUUAAAACGUUGAAAAUUUUCGGGAAAAGCGACAUACUUUACGUUAAUCGAGAAAGAGAAUCAUAUCCAGUAAGUUAGGACACAAUUUCUCGAAUUUUCGAUACGCGAAUGAAUGCUAGAAAUUUGCUUAUUUUAAAAGAUAUUUAGCCAUCUCGGAUUUUUAAAAAAAGGGGAUCAGGCCCAGUAAGUUAGGACUUGAUCUUUUUUUUUAAUUUCCGAGACCGUUUAAAGCUUAAGUUCGAAAAAGAUUCGUGCAUUUAGAUUCAUCGUGAAAAUUGAAACCCAGUAAGUUAGAGUACGACCUUCUCAAAAUCUAAACAUACGAAAUACCAUUUUUUAGAAUAAAUUUUGACAUAUUGAGUGAAAUAAAACACGAUGUUGUGAUAAAAAGAAUGCGAAAACAGAUGAUAUUGUUUAUAUACAUAGCAGAACAAUAAUGUAUACAGUGGUGUAAAGAUAAUACGAGUAACAUCAACAAAAUAAUAUAAAUAAAAAGGACAAAUCCAUAAUAUACAAAACAAAUAAUAUUAAAACAUUCUAAAAAAAUAAAAAUAAAAGCAACAAUAAUCAUGAAAAAUAAAAAAUAAUAAUAAUGUAGAUAAAUAAAUGAACGAAGAAAAAUGAAUAAAAUUAUAACAAUAUAAAAAAGAUAUAUAAGUAUGUAUAUAUAUGUAAAUCAAAGAUAUAUAAUUAAAUUUAAAAUUGAAAAAAAGGGUGCAAAUGAGUAACUAAUAAUGAUAAUAAUAAUAAUAAUAAUAAUAAUAAUAAUAAUAAUAAUAAUGGUAAAAAUAAAAAAUAAUAAUAUGAGUAAUAAUAAAACAAUAGUAAUAGGUGUAACAAUAAUGAUUAAAGUUAAUUAAUUUAAUACAAAUAACAAAAAGGGACUAAUUUGAACUUUAAAGCAGAAAUUAAGGGUAAACUCGCAAAUAAAUUAAAAGAAAAGGACCGAAUAGAGUGCGAAUAACAAAGAGAGACUAAAAGGGAAAAAUAUUCCCUCCCUCCAAAACGCAACGCUUUACACGGGACUCAAAUGAAAUCAAAAUAAAAUUUUAAGGCCAAAUUAAAAUAAAUAACAGAAGAUAGGACCCAAAUGUAACCAGCCUCAAAAGCGGAAGAACUAGUGGCGCAAAUAGCCCCUUUGUCCAAAAACACGCGAAUCCUAGGCGGGUCAGGUCAGUUUCGGGUCGGGCCCCCAAAACGACGCCUUUUUGGCGUAUGGGGAGGCCAAGCUAAACGACGCCGUUUUAUACAGGCUAUAAAAAUUUUAAGAAUUCCUCAUUUUCAUCCCUCUUUUAAAAAAAACUGAGGAACCCUCUCCCCUUUUCUCUCAAAACAUCCAGCCUUUGGUCUCCGGCGAGCGUCCGUCGUAGUGCUGUCGCGUGCGGCAGCUGGUGGCGCAAAAUCGGUUCUUUUUGGUCCCUUUUUGAAGCUGAAUGUCUCUAGGACACGGAUUCAGGGCUAAAUCUUUCGAUAGAUCGGCCAAACUCAGAAAAAUAAGAGGAAACCGUUCGCCUUUCCCCUCCGGCGCGACUCAAGUAAACUCCCCUCACCUUUCUUUUAUUUCUUUGUAUUUAGAAACGAAAAACAAAAUCAAAACGAAACAAAAUAACAGAUCUAAAAAAAUGGCAGUAAUCACCUUAAGAUUUCUUUUUUUUCUUUUUUUUUUUUGAAUCCUAUUUUUAUUUCCUGAUGUUCAUAAAAAAAGGGUCAAACCCCUACAACUGAUUUUUGCUUGGCUUUUAUAGCCAUUUUACAAGCUUUUUUAAAUACUUUUUUUGUCACUUCAGUUGCAGGCGCAAGUGGAGUGAGAGUCGGUGGUGGCAGUUGCGGCGGUAGCAGAGGUCAGGUGGCGAGGCUAGUGGUUGCGGCGCUAGGUUAGGGUUUCAGAAAAUUGAAACCCUAUUUGACUAUUGAGGCUAACUUGCAUUGGGCUUGAUUAUUGGGUCAUUAUUUUUUUUUGCUGGGUUUUGGGUGUUGUUUGGAUUUGUAUUGGUUUUGGGCCCGGGCAGAAUGGGUCUGUACAUAGCUAAUCUAUUUUGAAAUUUAUUUAGGUAAAAUUUAAAAACAUUUUAAUAAAAAAUUUAAAAAAUCCAAAUAACCCAUAGAAAGAAAUUUCCCUUCAGUAGGGGCGAAUCCAAAAAAUCUUUUAGAAAUCAAAAUGGUUAAAAUAUAAUUUUAUCAUUUUAUUAUUUUUUAAGAGACAUAAAUAUUUUUAUUUUUAAAGGUCAAAGUACAAAUUUACCAUAUAUUAAUUUAUAAUUUAAUCAUUUAUUAAGGGAUUGCAUAGAAUUUUUUCCAUUUUUGGGAUCAAGACCCUUGCCUUGAGCCCUUAAUGAUAUAUAAAAAAAACAAUGAACUCCUUCAACUAAUGGAGAUCGUCAAUAAUCAAUUUAAUUGUUAAAUGACCUUAAUGUGACUAAUGAAAGUAACGAACUCCCUCAGCCUCCGCUUCUACUACUUUACUGAUCACGGAAGUCUUAGAUCGCUUUGGACAAUCUCGUAUCCUAUGCGGACCACUAUACAAAAAGGAUUUCAUUGGCUUCUUCUAAUUCUCAUUUCCUCUCUUGGCUUCAACCCCACGCACAAUCGAACCAAGCCUUAUCGGAGCAUUUUCUGCUCAUCAUCUUCUCUGAUGGCAGGAAACACGAAUCACUUCAGACAGUUCCUCACCAUAUGCAGACCUUUACAAAAGAAGUAUUUUAGUGACCCCUUCUUUUCCCACGGUUGUCGAGUUUCCUCUUUCCAUUUUGUCAUUUCCCAUUACCACUAUGGCCACCAUUACCGCUGCUAAAAUUAACUUGUCCACCUUCAUCUUCCCCAUCACUGCCCAUCUCUUUGGGCUUGGAAGACUCGAACUUGUCUUUCCUCGGGACAAGCCUGAUUAAAGACUCUACCAUGAUCAUGGCUUUCAAUAAUUCUUGGACCCCUCGACAUUCCAAUUCCUGCUUGACUUAAGGCUUCAAACCAUCCAUGAAAAAGAAGAAUGCCUUAUUCUCACUUAAAUCCGUGUUUUGGAGCAUCACUUCACUGAACUUCUUCACAUACUCUCGAAUUGUGCCUUGUUGCGAAAAUCGACGUAACUUAGUCCGAACCUUCUUCUCGACAUAUUGAGGGUAAAACUACUCCCUGAACUCAUUCUGGAACUCAUUUUAGGUGCCAAUCAUAGCCUGACCAUACUUUUCAUCUGUGGACCUACACCUCCACUAAAGAAGAGCAAAAUCAGUAAAAUAUGAAGUAGCAGUAUUUACCUUAGCAUUAUCAUCCAUGAUGCCCAUGGCACAAAAGUAUUGAUUCAUCUCUUACAAGAAAUUGUCUACUUCCCUCGUAGACCUUGCCCUUUUAAACUUCUUCGGUUUUGGGACAUCAAUCUCUCUGUUUAGUGUUGCACUCAACAUCUCCUUACCCACAGCAACUUUGUACGCAACAAGCUCUCCCUCAAGCUUUUUGAUUUUUGCGUUCAAAGUCAUCAUCGUGGCUUCAUUUUCUCCCUUCAUAGAUGUCAUCCCAGCUUUAAGAACAUCGUUUUUUCUGUUAGCUUACCCAUAACAGUAUUGAGAAGCGCUUCUACUGUGUCCAUAUUGGAACUAAGGGCCUCCACCACAUAUUCCUUAAACUGUUCUUUCAUCGGGUCUAACUCAUCAGUCCUUGUCUCCACUACCUCAAGUGUUUGCUUUACUUCACCCAAGGAUUCCUUGAGAUGGACCACACGACUUUCCAAAGCCGACAAUGUAUCCCUUGAUCUGCUAUUUUUUCCUGGACCUUCCACGAGUCUCCAUCGGGACAUUUUGUUCGUCUCAUUCUUUCGUCAUCACAACAGCGCUUUCGAACCUUAGCUAGGAUACCAACUGUCAUAGGGUUAGACUUUUUGUCUCGUAAAUUGUACAACCUUAGGUAAUUUUUUUUGCUCCGAAUUUGCCUAAGUCAACUUAACUCUCGCAAAAGUAAAAAUUCUCGUAAAAAUUCUCUAAGGCAUUGGAAAUAUAGCGGAAGCAUACUCGGAAUGAAAUAACAACGAAGAAUAGAAAAACCAAAGGAAAAUAGCACGCCUAGUGUUUGAGUAAAUGCUCUCAAAUAUAUUUAUCACUACGAAUGGAAUGAAGUGAUUACAAAUGAAGGGGGAGGCCUCUAUUUAUAGUUGAGCUCCCUUAGAACCAAUAGUACAAAUUGAAUUACAUCGACAAUCAUGAUUAGAGCCUAGCUACACUUGAGAGUCUUAAGGGAUUUAAACUCUAUACAAUCUUAUCCGUUUAGGAUUUACACUAUUUACCCUGGUAACUCUAGUUUCACUGGGUUACUAACGCUUCAAGUAGAUGUGAUUCUCCAGGAGUUCCAUGAGUUGAGCGAGUCCAGUCGGGUUAAAUGAGCCCCAUUUCAACAAUUGACUUCUAUAGGGCGUUCUUGGCACAAUCAUCAUGGGCUUUAACCCACAACUUGUGACACUAGGUAGUGCUAGGUUCGGUAACUUGAGCAAGCUUGUGGUAUAACAAAUGACAUUAUCUUCUUUUUAAGAUGUCUAUGCAAUAAGUAUAUAUAUUUACAAUUUGAUUUAUGUGUUUUAAAAAGGUUUCACAUCAAAUUAGAACUAAGUUUUAACGUAUAAACUAACAAUUAGGUCGAUGAAAGAACUUAAUUGAUAAAAUAUUGAUAUUUUGAAUAUUUAAUUAGAAGGUUUAGAUGCUUAUUGUUAUUGUUUUGAAUAAAGUUUAGUUUUAUUUUUGUUAGGGAGAGGAUAACUUUUUCUUUCACUAUCAAGGUAUCCACCAUUGACAACCGUGAUUAAUUCUUUUGUCACAGGUGCUCUCCAAAGAAGUAAACAAUUAACUGCAAAAGGUGCUUCAUUCUCAUAAAUCGAAAUCAAACCUCCGACAAUAUGAUUAAAGGACAAGAUUAAACAACUACUACAUCAUACCUCAUUAUUUAAAAAACUAAAAUUUUUAAGCAAGCGAUGAGAAAGUAUUAUCCGCAUUUUACAAUCACAUGAUUAAAAAGACCCUUCCUAAGCAUAGCUCUAAGCUUUUAACACAACACAAUUAUAUACACGCGGACGGGAUCUCCCUCUAUUCACUUACGGCCCAUCCUAGGCCCUUUUACCAAAAUAGCCCAAAAAAUAUUAUAUUUACAAAAAUAACCCAGGUUUAAAAACAAUCACCACAAUAACCUAAAAUGAACAGUACCCACUCGUUUUUUGCACCCAUGAUUGCCUAAUAAUUGUGUCAGACUUAAAAAAAUUAAUUUUUUGGGUUUUGGCCGGUCAAUGGCCGGAACCCAUGUAUUUUUUUAAAUCGUAUAAUGCUGAUAUACGUAAAAGGAGAAAAAAAGAAAAAGGAAAAAAAAAUUUGGGGUGCUGGCCUGUCAAUGGCCGGCACCCAACAGUAAUAAAAAAAUUACUUUUUUUUCGUGUUAAAAUCAGGUAUCAGUAUACGAAAAAAAGUAAAAAAAAUUUGGGUGCUGGCCUGUCAAUGGCCGACACACAACAGUAAAAAAAAAUUACUUUUUUUUUCGUGUUAAAAUUAGGUAUCAGUAUACGAAAAAAAGUAAAAAAAAAAUUUGGGUGCUGGCCUGUCAAUGGCCGGCACCCAACAGUAAUAAAAUUUUUUUACUUUUUUUUCGUGUUAAAAUCAGAUAUCAGUAUAUGAAAAAAGUAAAAAAAAAAAUUUUAGGUGCUGGCCCAGUAAUAAAAAAAAAUUAUUCUUUAAUUUAACUUACAAAAAAAAGAAAUUGGAUUUUUUUUUUACUUUUUUCGUAUACUGAUACCUGAUUUUAACACAAAAAAAGUAAAUUUUUUUUAUUACUGUUGGGUGCCGGCCAUUGACAGGUCAACACCCAAAAAAUUUUUUUUUACUUUUUUUUCGUAUACUGAUACCUAAUUUUAACACGAAUUUUUUUUUCCUUUUUCUUUUUUUCUCCUUUUCCAUAUAUCAGUAUUAUACAAUUUAAAAAAAAUACAUGGGUUUCGGCCAUUGACAGGCCAAAACCCAAAAAAAUAAUUUUUUUUAAGUCUAACACAAUUAUUAAGGAAUCAUGGGUGCAAAAAACGAGUAAGUACUGUUCAUUUUAGGUUGUUUUGGUAAUUGUUUUUAAAUCUGAGUUAUUUUUGUAAAUAUAAUAUUUUUUUGGGCUAUUUUGGUAAAAGGGCCCCCACCCCACCACCGUCAAAACAAUGCUAGGCCACACAAGUUUCUCCCACUGCCCUGUUACUCGAUUUUGAUUAAUGAUCUUUACCCCCAAUAAAUAAAAUAAAACCAAAAAGCCUUCACGUACCAACAAGUCUUGAUUAAGGCCCUUUUAGCAAAAUAGCCCAAAAAAAUAUUAUAUUUACAAAAAUAACUUAGGUUUAAAAACAAUCACCAAAAUAACCUAAAAUAAACAGUACCCACUCGUUUUUUGCACCCAUAAUUGCCUAAUAAUUGUGUCAGACUUAAAAAAAUUAAUUUUUUUGGUUUUGGCCUGUUAAUGGCCUGAAUCCAUGCAUACGAAAAAGGGAAAAAAAAUUUUGGGUGUUAGCUUGUCAAUGGCCAGCACCCAACAGUAAUAAAAAAAUUUUACUUUUUUUCGUAUUAAAAUCAGGUAUCAGUAUAGGAAAAAAAGUAAAAAAAAAUUUGGGUGCUGGCCUGUCAUUGGCCGGCACCCAACAGUAAUAAUUUUUUUUACUUUUUUUCUCGUGUUAAAAUUAGGUAUCAGUAUACAAAAAAAAGUAAAAAAACAAAUUUUUGGGUGUUAGCCUGUCAAUGGCCGGCACCCAACAGUAAUUAAAAAAAUUUUACUUUUUUUUGUGUUAAAAUCAUGUAUCAGUAUACGAAAAAGGAAAAAAAAAUUUUGGGUGCUGGCCUGUCAAUGGCAGGCACCCAACAGUAAAAAAUUUUACUUUUUUUUUCGUGUUAAAAUUAGGUAUCAGUAUACAAAAAAAAGUAAAAAAAAAAUUUUUUUUUGGGUGCUGGCCUGUUAAUGGCCGACACCAAACAAUAAUAAAAAAAAUUUUUACUUUUUUUUCGUGUUCAAAUUAGGUAUCAGUAUACGAAAAAAGUAAAAAAAAAAUUUUUUUAGGUGCUGGCCUGUCAAUGGCUGGCACCCAACAGUAAAAAAAAAUUUACUUUUUUUUAUUGUUAAAAUUAGGUAUCAAUAUACGAAAAAAAAGUAAUGACCAGCACCCAACAGUAAUAAAAAAAAUUUUCUACUUUUUUUCGUGUUCAAAUCAAGUAUCAAUACACGAAAAAAGUAAAAAAAAAAAUUUAGGUGCUGGCCCAGUAAUGAAAAAAUUUAUUCUUUAAUUUAACUUACAAAAAAAAGAAAAAAGAAUUUUUUUUACUUUUUUUGUAUACUGAUACCUGAUUUUAACACGAAAAAAAAAGUAAAAUUUUUUUUAUUACUGUUGGGUGCCGGCCAUUGACAGGCCAACACCCAAAUUUUUUUUUUUACUUUUUUUCCUAUAUUGGUACCUAAUUUUAACACGAAAAAAAGUAAAUUUUUUUUUAUUACUGUUGGGUGCCGGCCAUUGACAGGCCAGCAUCCAAAAUUUUUUUUUCCUUUUUCUUUUUUCUCCUUUUUCGUAUAUCAAUAUUAUACAAUUUAGAAAAAUACUUGAGUUCCGGCCAUUGAUAGGCCAAAACCAAAAAAAUUAAUUUUUUUAAGUCUGACAGAAUUAUUGGGCAAUCAUGGGUGCAAAAAACGAGUAAGUACUGUUAAUUUUAGUUUAUUUUGGUGAUUGUUUUUAAACCUAUAUUAUUUUUGUAAAUAUAAUAUUUAUUUGGACUAUUUUGGUAAAAGGGCCCUUGAUUAAUUAUCCCUCACAUCACAUGCUUCAUGUUCUCAAGUGUUGGGUCCUUGAUUUGCGGGAUUCUCCUGUUCUUUCAUGUCCAUCUAUCUCCUCCUUUUUACUUUUUUCUUUCUUUCAAUAAUAUAUGCUUCAUCUUAAAUCGAAAAAUAUAAGGUUCUUUUUUAUUGCAUUUCCUUCUACUGUUUCUCAACUCGAUUGAUCUGAAUCUGAAGUCAAUAAUCUAAAUUCAUUUAAAUUAAAAUACUUUAAAUCCAAAAUGAUAUUUUUAUACAAUUAUAGUAUCGUCUGAAUCUAAUCAUGUAUCAGUCUAAACUGCUUAAUUUUGCUUUCAAAGCCCUGAAACCAAUUCGACUAGUCAUUAGAUACGGCUUUUUUUUGCCCUGAAACCAAUUCGAAUAGUCAUUAGAUUCGGCUUUUAUUUUACUUUUUAACUUGGCAGGAACUGGUUCACUUUACUUUCAAGCACUUAAAGAAGGUGUGUGAUUAGGUAGACGACUUUCUUUUGACAGUCAAGAACUGGAUGUGGCCAGCGUAAGGGGCAAACACCUUUUUUUGUGCUAAUUAUUCACAUAUUGGAUCUUUUCUCGAUGUAGCUUAUCUACUUUGUGCCAUGCAUUAUUUACUUCUUUUUUACUUGAAAGUUCUUGAGCAAGGGCUUUCAAACUUGAGGUUGAUGACAAAGUGCUAUAAUAAUAAUUAAUAAUAGCUUUGAAGGUGGUAGAAGCUAGCUAAGUGUCUCUUUCAUCUUUAGCAUUGGUCCGCAUUGAGAGGUCUGUUUUAUGCCACAUUAUCCCUUCCAUAGAUUAAGUGGUAACCCCCUUGAAGAUGGUUGUUGUCUGCUUAGUUGAGGACUGCCGUCACUGUCCAAUUGUUGGAGUCUUUUGCCUAUGUUAUUUUCUUAUGCCUUCCAUAUCAUCCCCUUUUAUCCAUUACUUAACAAUUGAAGUUGCUACUUGGGCAUUUUCAUUUUAGCUAGCUACAUCUUCACCUGCCCUUUGUGGCCCUUUUACUAAAAUAGCCCCAAAAAUAUUAUAUUUACAAAAUAAUUCAGAUUUAAAAACAAUCACCAAAAUAACCUAAAAUGAAUAGUACCCACUCGUUUUUUGCACCCAUGAUUGCCUAAUAAUUGUGUCAGACUUAAAAAAAAUUAUUUUUUUGGGUUUUGGCCUGUCAAUGUCCGGAACCUAUGUAUUUUUUUUAAAAAAAUUGUAUAAUACUGAUAUACAAAAAAGCAGAAAAAAGAAAAAGGAAAAAAAAAUUUUGGGUGCUGGCCAUUAAUAAAAAAAAUUUUACUUUUUUUUUUUCGUGUUAAAAUUAGGUAUCAGUAUACGAAAAAAAAUAAUAAAAAAAAUUUUUUAGGUGCUGGCCUGUCAAUGGCCGGCAUCCAACAGUAAUAAAAAAAUUUACACCAAAUUUUUUUUUUACUUUUUUCGUAUAUUGUUACCUGAUUUUAAACGAAAAAAAAAGUACAAAUUUUGGGGGGGUUUUUUAUUUUUUUUCAGGUUUUGAUACCUCUAGCACAUCUUGUAAUAACUUCACACAUCUUGUAAAAAAAUUUACUUUUUUUACUGUUCAUUUUAAGUUGUUUUAGUGAUUAUUUUUAAAUCUAGAUUAUUUUUAUAAAUAUAAUAUUUUUUGAGCCCUUUGUAAUUCUUUAGGCUUCUUUCCAUGUAGGGAAUUCAUAAUACAUUUAAGUCGUGGGGUUUUAAGUUCCCGAGGGGUUAAAAUUAUUGGACUAAACUUUUCUACCAGGCCAUGCAACGGGACGGAGUAACUAUUUUUAAAUCCGUCACCAUUCUAUUGUCUCUUGUCUUGUUUUGUGAUGAAUGUUAUUAUGAAUGCAUCCACAAUCAUUUCACCAUACUCCACCUAUUUCAAAUAUAUUAGCUAUUUCUAAUAAUUUUAAUGUGUAUUUGACUUAUAAAUAUGAAAAUAAAUAAUUGUGUUGAGUGAGAUAUAUUGUACUUUCAAAUAAAUAAUACACAUUUGAAUAUAAAAUAUGAUAUUAUUAAGAGAAACAGUUACAAACCUCAAAUAUGUCAUGUAAAACUGAUAUAAAAGAUACUUAAAUAAUCUAUAAAUAUCUCAAAUAUUUUAGAUUUAUUAUAUAACAUAUUAUUGCAUUUUUAUCAUUUUAAAAGUUUAAUAUAUAAGAGUAAAAUAGUAAUUUUAAAGAUAUUAAAGUCAGGCAAGACAAGUAAAUAUCAUAAUUAAUCCACACCCAAUGGCAUAUCUAGGAGGGGUUGGCAGUGGCCCGACCCCCUAAAAUAAAAAAUUGUCUAUUUAGGUUUUUUAAAAUUUUUAAAAAUUAAAACUAGUAAAGGUCAAAUUGUACUAUGGCCCUCCUUAAAAAUGAAAAAAAAAUUUAAUUUAAUCUUUUAAAAAUUAUAAAGAUAUAGACUAUUAAAAAUUAAAAUUUAAUUCCAGCUCCUUUAACAAAUUUUUUUGACUUUCACCCAUGUCCAUACCCACCUUUAAAACUAGAAAAAAAAUCAUCACGACCUACCUAUACUGUUUAAGGAAAAAUCUCUUUACCAUUUAAAUCAAUUCAAAAUUCAUUAAACGAUUUAUAUUUUGCCAUCUCGCAUUCCUCUAGAUUUCAAGUAAGAAGACAAAAAUCAUAGGGCCCAAAAAGAAAGAGAUGGUGGGGUUAGUAAAUUAGAAAUGGAGGACAUUGGACGGUUGUAGCAAUGUGCAGAUGUGGUUAGGGGUACUCUUCCAGUCCAUUUUCAUUGCUUAACAUCAAGCCUCAAUUGAUCCCUAUUGGCGAAGGAAGGACGACGAAAGAAAAUUCAAAUAGACAAAUUAGUGAUGUGAUAUGCAGGGACGGUUGGAGUGGCCACCCCCCUCUCUCUUCAACCAAAAACUCAAGACAUGUCACUCUUUGUUUCUUUCUUCUUAAUUGAUGGUCUUUGAUGGGCAUUUCGGUGAAUUUUAAUGUUGAUCUCAAUAUUAUAUAUUAUUUUGCUUAAAAUUAUAAAUAUUAUAACCACGUUUUUUUAUGUAUUGACCGUAUAAUAUUGCCAAUGAAUUAAAUAAUAAUAAUGCUUCAUCUCAAAUAUUAACUAUAUUUUUAUUGAGUUAUAUAAUAAAAUUUUGAUUGUGUUUGUAAUGUUGAAACAACUUAAGUCAAAAAUCAUAUUAUAUAAAUUAGAUAUCAACUUAAUUAAUGUAUUUAUUUUAAUUUAAUCUUGUUAUAAAAAUAUUUUUUAUUAUAAUUAAGGAAAGAAGAAUACUCAUGAUUAAUUUAGUGAUUAAGGAAUGUUCACUAUAGAAUCUACUCGAGUUUAAAUCAAUUCCCUUUGAACAUAGUGUGUGGUUUGGGUUUGUCCCUACUAUGUACCCGUGAAUACUAACACUCUAAUUAUAUAGUACUAAAAUAAAAUUAAGGAAAGAAGAAUGUACAAAGCUUAUCUAGUCCCCUCUAGUUGAGAUCAGGGUAGUUGGUACCGUAAUGUUCUGGUCUUAAAUUGGUACUAAGUAGUCUAUGUAUUGUUUCAAUAAAAACUUCGGUGUGUUUCGGCCCAUUUUAAUUAAUACCCGUGCAUAUAAAAUUUUGAUAUUUUAAAUCAAUUUUUAAUUUUUUUUAUCUUAACCAUUGUAUAUAUAAUUUAUCAAAAAAUAAAAAAUGAGGCUAUACAUAUAUAUAUAUAUAUAUAUAUAUGAAAAUAUUUAAAGACAUCAAUAAACCCAAAAUGAUAUAAUGAAACAAGUUGAUACCAAAACAAAAAUAAUACACCCACCAACACGGAAGGGGACUCACUGUUAGCGUCCAUUUCCAUAUAAUUUAUCUCCUUAUAAUUUAUCAACUCUUCGUACUCGCAAUAUAUGAAGUACCAACAUAAAUUAGACUCGUAUAUAAUGUAAGAUACAGAUAAAUUGUAGUAAUCUACGUAUGAAGUACUUCAUUUUUUUCUUUAAAAUUUUAUAUAUAGGUAAGGUAGGAUAUGAAUAGAUGUUAAAAUAACAAAUAGGUAGGGGGGAUUAAAUUGAUGUCCCCUAACAACUUACAAGCUAGGUAAUGCAGGAGUUGAGGUUGAACCUGAUGAUGUUGACUGUUAUAUGGGGAGUAGGCAUGGAAAAUGCAAUUGCAAUGCCAAACCCAUCCAACUAAGGAUAGCCAUGCUGCCGCAUCACUUUCAUCCACAAAUCAACUUCUCUUUUCUACACUCGCUCAUAUUUUUAACUAAAUAAUUUAUGACGUCAAAUACGAAUAUGAACAGUGGGUCGCAAUCAUGGUUUUAGGCUUCUCUCUCCUUCUCUGACUUUUCUUUUUUGUGUAAUCUAUUCGCUCAAGCUAUCGUCAAAUAAUUUAAUUUCAAAAAUUACGAUUAAAUUAUCAAAAUUAUAGUAAAUUAUUUGAAUUUUUUUUAUUUUGAUCAACGUUUCUUUUUGUUGUAUGGUUUUAUCAAUUUGUAUCACCUGCAUUAAUUGAAACCUUUAAUUUAUUUUCUCUUUUAUAAUUUAGUUUUUUUAUGAAAUAAUUUUAAACAUUACAAAUUUGUAAAUCAAAAUUCAAACAAUUUUCUUUUUCGAUCUUGACACUAGCCGUCAGGUCGAUUUGGAUCUAAAGUAUAUUUUUUUACUCAUUAAUGGAUAUUGAUCCACCAUACUGUUCGUUGAAUCGUUACUUGGAGCUCGUUAGUGGAACUUUAAAAAAUAACUUAAUAAACCAGUGACUUAAAUAAAAACUUUUUAAUAGUUCAAUGAUAAUAUUGUAACUUUUGAAGUUGAGUGCCCAAAACAUAAAUUUAUUAAUAGUUUCUGACCUUGCGUGUAGUUUCUUUUUUUUAGAAGUGUUUUACGUUCUAAUUUGGUUUAAAAUUUAAAUAUUUAGUUAGUGUCUGUAAAUUUAUUUAAUAAUUAAAUUUGAGUGUAAUUAUGUAAACGAUAUGUUUGAAUAACUAUUGCAAUGCAAUUGGUGGAUUCCACUAAAUUGAAUGUAAUUAAAGCACUUCAAUUAUACUUUACAAUUAUUAGGAAAGGUUGAGAAUUGAGGUAAUUACGCUCGUAAUUAUAAGUAAUUACCAAUUACCUUAUUACUUUCCAAACAUUACAUAUAUGAUUUAAGUUUAUAUAAAUUAUUUUUAUACAAUUAUAAGAAAGUAUUUUAAUUUUAGAAUAUAUUUUAAUUUAAAAAAAAAUAUAAUUAUAUAUUUAUUAUUAAAUAACAAAUAUUUUGUUAUUGAACACAUCAACUCUAAAAAUUUCAUGUAAUUUUUACUUGUUUAAAAAGGCAUUUGUAAACGAGGAAGAUUUAUGCUUAUAUGAAGCAUUGAAUUUGGAAGUUUGAGAAUUCUUAGAAGAGUAUGUUGCUAAGGGUGUCCUUUUCCCUGAUUCUAUUUUGUAAUCUUUUGUUUUCUCUUUAGACUAUUUGUUCACCAAAAAAAAAAAAAAAAACAUAUUAUAGAUUCUAUAUUAUUCUUGCAUCAACAUGUAUUUGAGUACCCUAAUAUAAGUGUUAUAAAAGUUAUUGAACACUCUAUAAAACCAUUUUUAUAAAAGCUAUAUUAUAAAUUCUAUAUUGUUUUUUUACUUAAUUAGCGUGGAAUAAUAGUAAUUGAAAUAUUAUAAAAAAUGGUUACAAAGUUGGUUUGCUAUUUGACACCCUAGCACAACUCUGGUGCAAAUUAGGUAAAAGCUAUUAUAAUUGAAGGAUCAUAAAAUUAGUCUGCGCCUCAAAUUCUAGAGUGCUAAGAAAUGCGAUUUGGGAGAGAUUUGAAAAUAGGUUAAAAAUUGCAUCUAUUAAUCGAUAAAGUUGGUUAUGCAUAUACAAGUUUUAUUGCACCAUAUUGUGGGAUACACUGCCAUUUGAGACAAUAGAGCUACACAUAAGCACUAAAGAUGACUCACAAACUAUAUAUUUAAGACAUUCAAAGUUUUGAAAUAUGGUUAAGAGGACAUUUGUUGUUGUUGUUUUUUUUUUUUUUUAAUUCUCAUGUUAACACCACCUCAAUAUAGUCUAAAGAAAGGUUGAAUCAUGCUAGCAUGUUGCAUACGACAUAAUUUCAUUCAUAGUUGGAAUUAGGAUUAUAUGUACUUUAAACAUUACAUAGUAGAUCCUGGUAACUUUGAUGAUAUAUAUUCAGAUUUCGAUUUAGAUGUUGAAGAAAUUAGUUAAUGACCAAUAUAUUAAUGGGUAUAUGUUAAAUGCUAAAUAUAAAUAACACAACAAAUAUAGAAUAUUAGAACAAUUAGAUAAAAUUGCAUAUGAUAUUCAUUUUUAUUUUUCUUUUUAUCUAUAAUCAUAUUGUCAGCUGCUUUCUUGGCUAACAUAUUACAUAUGAUGAUUUGAUAUUAAUUUUGUUGUUUAAUUUUUUUCUCAAGUAUUAUUAAUAUUUUUUUAUGGUAAAUAAUAUUUUUAUAUUUAAAUUAUAUAAAUGUGUAAUUACAAUUUUUACUAUUAGACACGACAUAAGAAAUUACAAUGUAAUUACAUUUUGCCAUUAAACACAUCAGAAAAUUACAAUUUAUUGUAAUUACGAGAGGGUUUAAUUACUACCCUAGUAAUUACACUUUCAUCCAAUUACUCAGUGGUGCCCAAACACACAUUUAGUAUUGCUAUCAAAAAGCGUUUUUAGGAAAAUAAAAUAUCCAUUUUAGAUAUAAAAUUUUAAAGUAAAAAUAUGUAUUUAAAUGAUAUUUAAAUUUAUUAGUAUUAUUUAUUCAUAGAAAAGGAUUACAAGCAAUUGCGGACCAAGUUCUAUAAAUAUGUACAAUCAAUAUGACACAAACUGCAAAAAAAAAAAUACAUUAAGUUUGAAACAAACCAACAAACAUAAUAAGACAAGAGCCAAAUGGCUUGAAACCCAAUUUUGAGAAAUGAGCAAACUCUGCUUAAAUCAAGUCGUCAUUGCCUAUCAAGGAGCAGUAAGGACGAAAACCCUCGCAAGUAUGUUGGAGUUCAACCAUCAUGGCAGAGAAGCCACCGUGAUGCGUAGAGCCUUGUUAUAUCAUCGCCUUUAUUACAAUGGACAUGCCUCAGGCUAACUUGAAAAAUUAGGUGCAAGAGCUUGAGCAAAUUAGGCAAUCUUGAUAUGCCUAAAAACUCCUAAUCGAGAACCAAAUCCUUCACACAAUGCUAUCAUCCAAAUAAUUAUUGAGACAAUGUUUGCAUCAAGGAAGUCAACCCACCAUGACAGUGGAAAAGGGGAGAGCCAAAUGAGUCUUAACAGUUAACGCAUUAUUUUGCUGAAAAAGAGACACUCACUUCUAUCUCGUCGGCAACCAAAGGUUGGAAAGAAUCCAACGAAACCAAAAGGUCGAUAGGAAAAAAAAAAGCUAAAAAGAGAGAGAGAGAGAAAAAUGGGAGGAGGAAGAGAGGGGGCAAAAAAUAGAAGGGUCAACUAUUGGUGGAGGUUGCCACUAGAGAAUUGCCGCCAACUUUUGUAACAACUUGUUUUUCAGUGGUAUCAGAAAUAGUGGUUUCGAAAUCCUUUUUUUCAAUGAUCGAGUCCGUAAAUAUUAUUAAUUAAUAUUUACAAAUUUAUUUUAGUAUUAUAUUGAACUUUGGUCUGACGAUUUUGUUAAUUGGAUACUUAGUUAAGGUAUAAGUAUUUCAACUCUAAAAUCAAUGGUUAUGGAGAAUGAGGUAUUGCGACCUCGUUUUCAUAAACCAAACUCGUAAAUAUUUUUAAUAAAUUUUUAUGGAGUUAUUUUAUAGGUGAAUUGAAAUUUUGAUAAGUAAUUUUGUUGAAUUAGUGACUAAUUAAGGUACAAGGACUAAAUAGUAAAAGUGGUAAAAAUUAAUCGUUAUAGAUUUUUAAUUGCUAAAGGACUUAAUAAGUAAUUAAAUCAAGGUUAAAAUGGUAAUUAGACCAUUAUGGAUUGAGUGGACUGUUGAUUGUGUUUUCUAUUAAUAAUUAAUAUUAAAAUUAUGAUUAAAUUAUAAUAUUAUAUGUUAAAACAUAAUAAAAAAUAUGAUCAUCUUUAUUUCUCUCUUCUCUCCACCGUUUGCAUGAAAAAGAAGCAAAAGAAGCCAUUUUUAAGCUCUUAGCAUUCAACCAAGCUUUGUUCUUCAAAUUGAUAAGUAAUUUCAAGUUUGUUUCUUGUAAUUUUUUAUGUUUUUGAAGUCUUAGGAGCUUGAUCUAGCUAACCCGUGUGUUAAUUUUUGAAAUUGUUAAAGUUUAUAAAUGUUACCAUUGUUGAAUUCUUGAUGACAUUGGUGCCAUUUGGUUAGGUUUGAUGCUUAAAUAUGAAAAAGGGCUAAUUUAUAAAGUGAAAAUUGAUAGUUUUGAACUUAGGGAUUAAGGUGUAAAUAUUUCAAAAUAGGCAUGAAAUUUUUGUAAUUAUAGAUAAUAGAGGGUUAUAGAAGGAUGAAAUUGAAAUAGGAUUGACAAAGAAGCUUAAAUUUGAAAGAUAUAACUAUUUCAAUUUUAGGGAAUAAAUUGAAUAAAAUGUAAUACUUUAAGGAACUUUUAAAAAUUAAAAUUGAAUUGAUUUAUGCUUAUAAUAUAAUGAUAUAAGGUAAUUAUACUUGAUAAAUUGUAAUGAAUUAUUGUAGAUCAAAACUUGAAUCAAUCAGAAGAUAAUUGAAAAAAAAGGAAAAAUUUCAAAUUAGUCCCUGAUAAAGUGUCAUUGCUGUUUUUUUAGGUAAGUUCAAAUAAAACUUACUAUGUUCUCUUAUAUUAUGCUUGAAUUGUGUGAAUUUACUUAUUAAUUUAUAUGCAUGUGUAAUUUUGGUAAAUUUGGCAUCUAAAGGACUAAACUGUAAAGUAUGAAAUACACGACAACUAUGAAUAGAUACAUGAUAUUGAAUGGAUGUGGAAUUUUUAUUUGAUCGGAUAGUAUAUAUAUGAUAAUGUUACAAGGUUUAAAAUGUAUAUGGAAUGCUAUUUGAAAUGUGAAAAGUGCAUAUAUAGCUACAAGGUUUAAAAUGAAAUGAAAAAAGAAAAACGAGUGUUUGAUCAGGGAUUAAUACGUUGGCUUGAGAUCCAAAAUUUGUUACGGAUUCUCUAAAGCUAAUGUUAGCAGCAUCAUACCAAGCUAGUGUUAGCAACCCUGAUCUGAAGCUAGUGUUAGCAACCCGAAUAUGUUAGCACAUAAAGUAAAUUUGUCAUGUGUAUCUGAUUUCAAUAUGCGAAGGUUCUCUGAGUGUUAAAUAAAAACAGAAAUGGUAAUUAAAAUGGAAAUGGAACGAUUGAAUUGUGUGGACAUGAAUUGAGUUGUUAAUUUUUUAAAUUGAGCAUGGUUUGAAUGAUUGUAUAUACGUAUGAUUUGAGUAACAUGGUUUUCUAUGCAAUUAAACUAGCUUAUUGGUUGUAUUGUUGACUUGUACAUGAAAAUAUAAGGUGCCAAAGGAUGUCAUAGAUUAUACCAUUGAAUUUCAAUUGCUUAAAUUUGUUGUAAUGUUAAGAUAACUUAAGUAAAUUUCAUAUGGAUUUAUUAAGCAUUUAAAAUCCUUACUCGCUAUCUUCUUUCCUUGUAAAUCGUCGGUUUAUGGAAUGCAUUAGUUGGAUCACUACGAAGCUCACACUAUCCUAUAGGCGAUGCAAUAAUCUUUUAAUCAUUAUGGAUUCAGUUAUAUGGCAUGUAUCUAGGUGUUGUUAUGUAUAUGUGUUUACCUUAAAUAAUGCUUGAAUUUGAAUGGUUAUUAGCGGUGAAUAUAAGUGAAUAUGUUGGAAAUGUGAUAAACUAUAGUUGAAGUGUGUGAACAACUAUGUUGGUCGUGAAUUGGUUGAGUUAAGUGCUGAAAUUAAAUAGUAUCAAAUGUUUGAAUGAGUAGUGAUUUCAUAGGUUGAUAUGUUUUGGCCAAGUGCCCAAUUGAUGUUUAAUGGCUUGAAUGAUCUUGUGGAAAUGGUAAAAUGGAAGUUUGGUAGAUGUUUAUUGCAGGUUUUAAGAGUGCAUCCAAGCAUUAAUUGUGUUUGUUUUGAGUUAGGCAUGAAAAUGGACCAAAAUGGAAGAUUUUUUACUUAUUUGGCUUUAAGGUGCCGAUACCUUAGAUGAGGUAUUAGUACAUUACAUUUUUCAACUAAAUCUUUGCAAAACAGAAUGCUAAAAUGGUAUCAAUACAGAAAGUAUCAGCACUUCAACCCUAGUAUCGACAGUUCUUGAUUUAAUUUGAUUUUUUUGAAAUUUCGAAGCUCAAAAUGGCAUCGGUACCUAGCAAGGGUAUCUAUAUGUGUUGUGAAACUUGAAAAUCUUACAAUUUUGUCCUGUUUCGUGCUUAGGUCCUUAAAAGAGCUUUCGUAAGCUCGACCAAGGUUCAAAUUUUAAUUUUAUAUCAUAAUAUCUAAGUGUUUAUAACAUGAUUAAAUGCUUGAAAGAUUUAUAUAUGAUAUAUUUGAUUUGUAAUUUAGAAUAUGUUGCAAAACAGUCCUUGUUAAAUUUUGAGUUGAUUCAAGAGCGUAAAUAGGCUCGUAUAAUACCCAAGAGAGGUUAUAAUUGGUGAUUCUUGAACUAAAUUGACUAUGAUUGUAUGAAUUAUGUGUAAAUUGAAUAUCAAUUGCAUGUUUUUACUCCUGCAAUGAUUGUAGCAUCUUGUAACUCGGGUCUGACAAUCAAGUCGAGCGAGGGGUGUUACAACCUUACUGCCAACCGAAGAGAAGGAGAGGGACAAAUCAUGGUAAAAAGGCAAAGAAAAUAAAAAGGGAAGGGAAAAAGUAGAGAAAGGGAAAGAAAAGGAAGUGGAAGGGUGGAAGGAAUGGGAAGGAAAAAAGGGUCUACAGUAGGUUAUAAGACGAUGGUUGGCAAUGAAAAGCCGAUGAAAAAACUUCGUCGGAAUUACAAAAUGAUACAGAAAAGUGGAGGGACUAGAAGGGAAAAGAAGAGAACUAUUUAACAUAAAGUGAGUUCAUUUAAUAUUAUGCAUUUCAAUUAAUUAAUUUUUUAUAACUCAAUAUUAAUAUAUAAAAUAUAAAUUGUUUAUGAAUUUAAUUUGAAUAUAUAAUUUAUAUUUUAGAUUUUAAAAUAUAAUCUUUACAAAUUCAAAUAUAUAAUGUUAUAUAUUUGAAAUAAAUUUUAAUAGGAAGAUAAUUGUAUACUAGUAUAAAUAUUACGUAAAAUGCAUUUAAUAAUAAAUGAUGGCUAAAAAUGUGAUUUGAUUUUAAAAGUACUUUUCAAACGUAAAAGGUGUGUUCGAAUUUAAAGAAUUUUUUAUUUUAAAAGUUAUCUGUUUAGUAUUCGCUUUAGCUUAAUAUAUCAUUUAAUACUUGAGUUUGAUUUUUUUUUUCUAAUGUGGUAUUUAUAUUUAACAAAAGUUAUACAUUUUGGUACCUAAAGGUAAUGAUGUUACUUUUUUAGUGUUUAAUUCAGAUUUUAGGAUUGAUUUGAUGAAAGUUAAUUGGUAAUAUUAUUAGGUCUGAAUUUUUCAUAAUUUUUAAUAGAAAAAAAUUUAAUGUUACUUGUGAUUUUAUUUAAUUUUGCGUUUAAUUUGUUAAAUAUAGUCCAAGGGAUGUUAAUUAAUUUGGAUUUUAGGGUUGAUCUAAUCAAAAUUAAUUGCUAAUAUUAUUAGCUAGUUAUGAAUUUUCAUCAAAUCAACUCUAAAAUUUGAAUUAAACACUAAAAAUUUAGCAUUGUUAUCGUCAAACUAAAAAUUAAAAUAAAUACCACAAUAGAAAAAAAAAACUGAUAAACAUAGAUAUUACAUUGCACUUGUUUAUGGCUGCAAAAUAGUUUCCUUUUAUCACAAAAUGCUUUAGAAACACAACGUGUCUACACCAAUAUACUUUUUAAAAUUUGAUCAUAGUUUAAAUUCGUUUAUAUUUAUUCAUAAUUUCAAAAAAAAUAAUUUUUAUUAAUUUCAUAAGUUUUUUAUUCAAAAUUUUAAAUAUAUUAAAAAUAAUUUAAGUUCAAUUCAAGUUUCGGGUUGUAAAAUUUGUGGGUGUGUUUGGAUGAGGGGUUUAAAAAGGAAUUUCAUUUUAUAUCAAAGUUUUCAAAAUUUUAAAAAUGAAUUUACUUGUUUAAGUAAAAAUAUUGAAGAAUUUCGAAUAUUGUAAGAAAUUUCAAGAGCUUAAUUUCAUUUUCCAAAUUUCGUCUAAAGAGGUGUUUUUUAAAAUUCUUGAUAAUUUUGUUCCAUUCAAAUACAUGGUCUCACUAUAACAUAAAAAGAUUUAAACUUAAAAAUUAUUUUUAUUUAAUUAUAAUAUAUAAAUUUAAUAUUUUAUUAAAAUAUUUACCAAUUUUUUUUUAUAAAUCUAAUGAUAUUCAUAUUAAAUAUUUACCAAUUUUAAUUUAUAAAAUUCAUGAUAACUUGAUUUUUCAUUAAACAAUUAUUUAAACCAAUCAAGCAAUUAAAAUUGUUAUGAUUUUGAAUGAAUAAAUUAUUCAAAAUGAUAGUAUUAUAAAAUUCUCCAAAAUUUUAAAAUUCUUUGUGACACUCAUUGAGUGUAAAAGUUCUAGUAAGGUAAAAAGUUGUGAGGGAGACAUAUCCUCCACACCACUUAGAAUGGUCUGUUAACUAGCUAGCCUCAAACCAUAGCUUAUUGGUUGAAGACAAAAGAUAAAGGGCAGGGGGGGGGGGUUAAAAAUAACUGAAUAUUUCCUUUGCAUCCACCCCUUUCUUUCUCGUUACUCUAUGAGGUCCACUCAUGCAUGCGUACGUGUGUAUCAAUGUAUGUGUGUACGUAUGCAUCGAUAUAUAGAUGAUAUAAAUAUUGUGUGUGUGUGUGUCUUAUCAUUCUAGUUGCUACUAAAGUACGAACAAUCCACUUUAGAGUCUUUUCAAAAUUCCCAAUCUUUCAACUCCAACCAUGACAGACCCUUACUCCAAUCUUUUCAGUGGCUGCUUCAACUUCAUGCCUCUCCAUCCCCACUACGCUACUGCUCCCACUCCACUAAAUCACCCAAACCCUUGUUCUCAUCUUCACCCAAACAGUAUACUCAACAGUGAAACUAGUGGUCAUCCACUUGCCCCAUCGCCUCCUGGCGAAGAAGCUCUUCCCCUCAUCAAUUAUCUGAGUCCCACAAGGCAACAAGAGAAUAAUGAACCCACAAGCAGUUCCAUGGAAGACGAUAAGCUCAGCACUGUUGAUGAUGAAGCUGCAUCUGUAGCCCUACACAUAGGCCUACCUAGUCAUAGUUCCGAUUAUGGCUUCUCCCCAUCCGUAGAUUUGACUGAUAAUUGUGGAGUGAAUGGCAAUGUUGCAGCUUCUGGGUAUCCUUUAAGCUGCAGCAGCAAGGGACAGUAUUGGAUUCCUACCCCUACUCAGAUACUCGUUGGUCCUACACAGUUUUCAUGUCCUGUCUGUUGCAAGACCUUCAACAGAUACAAUAACCUACAGGUAUCUAUGCUUGCCUCGUUGCAUGAGACAUGAUACACCAAAAUUUCCUCCUUAAUUAGUUCUAUUUUCUCUGGUCUGCAAUUUCCAUCGAUCAUGGGGCCUUUUCUUCUCCGGACUCUGAACCAUAACUUUAGUUUUAGCUUACCGUCUUAAUUAAGAGGCUAAGAGCCGAGAAGCCACUUCAUGUUGAUGUUUCAACGGUGAUAAGGUUUACAUUUACAAUUAGCUAUAACCUACAUAUAUAUCUUUCUCUCAUGUAUGUAUAUAUGAAAGUGCAGAUGCAUAUGUGGGGGCAUGGAUCUCAGUACAGAAAGGGACCCGAUUCUCUAAGAGGAAGCCAGCCAACAGGGAUGCUAAGGCUCCCAUGUUAUUGCUGCGCACCCGGUUGUAAGCACAACAUCGAUCACCCAAGAGCAAGAGCGCUCAAAGAUUUCAGAACUCUCCAAACCCACUACAAAAGGAAACAUGGAAUCAAACCCUUCAACUGCAGAAAAUGUGAGAAGGCUUUUGCGGUGAAAGGAGAUUGGAGAACCCACGAGAAGAACUGUGGGAAGAUUUGGUAUUGCAUUUGUGGGUCUGACUUCAAGCACAAGAGGUCUUUGAAAGAUCAUAUCAAGGCUUUUGGCGCCGGUCAUGGCUCAGUUGGCAUUGCUUCUUUCGACGAGGACGAUGAACCCGUUUCGGAAUUUGAAUCCUCAACGACAACGUGAAAUUGGCAAGCAGUAUAUAGCAUGUACUUGCCUUUUUGGUAAGGAUUGGGAGUUGUUUAAAUAAAUGACUAAUUUUUUUUUCUUUUAUCCUUUCUUCUUCAUGUGUAUAGCUUUCGGGUGCAAGUGUUUUAUUCUCUUCUUUGGUAUAUCUCAGUUCUGUAAAUCCUUCCCACUUUAAGUCAAUAUAAACGGUGCAAAGCUUAUUAAAAUUAAAAAUGCUAAUUACAUUGUAUUUGCUACCUAUAUAAUUUAGAGUAACGGAGGAAGGGCUAUGAAUUUUAUUCAUGAGUAUAGCAAUAUAUAUCACGUAGCUAUUUUAAAAAAACAAACCCUUUACUGAUCUUCUAUUACUUUUUGAUCGCUGAAGAUUCGGUCAUAUCAGUUCAUCUUUACUGUUGUCAUAGAUCCUAGCUCCCUCAAAAAGGAGUGGGAAUAUAAAUGAACACCCAUCAUGUUACGUAACCUACUGAAAGAUGCUUUGAGUAACGCGUCUUGGAAGAAAGAAGCAACGCCUUGGGUAACCAAAUGACCUCUACCUAGCUACCAUCUUGUUUUUUGAACAAAACUGUAAUCAAGCUCAAUGUAUUUGGAUUGAGCAUGAAAAACUGGAUUGAUACAUAUGUGAAGAGCACUAAUGUUGUCACAGGAUAAUUGUGAAAGUUGAUAAAGAGUGAAAGCAAGCUAAGUCACUUCUGUAGUGAUAAGUGGUGACAUAAAUUAUUGGUUGCCUUGUACUGAUUUUAGAAAGGAUCUUGUUAUAUCAACAUCUCAUCAAUUGGUUCUUGUUAGUCCCAUAUUUUCCGAUGAGUAUACUUGACUUAAGGGCUCAUCUACAUAAGGAAUCACUCAUAUCUUGUUCAAGAUUUAUUGAAGACCCUUCUUAUUAUCUCAUGAUGCGUGUCAUAACAACUACCACUAGCUACUAUCAAGUAGCUUUCUUUUUUUUCCAAUCACAUUGUGGUAGAAACGUCAUGAACCUAUCCCGCUUAACUGAUGAGGUAGGGUCAUUGUUCACUAAGACCUAUGACUAACUCCGUUCCAAGCUCAUCGCUUACAUAAGAACUUUUACUCCAUUGAAAGAAAAGGAUUUUCUCCCCAUCUAGACCAUUGGCAACCAUCUUUAGAAAGACCCCCAUAGCGGCUAAUGGCACCACCAUUACUGUUUGAACCGCUCUUGAUCACCAACCCUCAAAUUUUGUAUAAAUUAUCAGUAUCAUCAUUGAUACCCUAGAUUGGAAACCAUGUCUCCACUAAAAAAAAAAAGCCUUCACUCCUCAAGUAAAGGAAGCUUAAAAAACGUCAGAUAACACUAUUAUGUUGCCACCUUUAUUACACAGACUAACCAAAAAAGUCUUACAUGCCGAGGCUACCAAGGCCAAAUUUUUUAAUGGUAGUUAUGACCAAAAUAGCUAAAACCACGACAGCUUAUACUAUCUCUUCUUUCCCUAUCCCACAUGCCAAAACCACAUGCAAACCCACCUACGAGUUUUGGCCACCCAUUGGAACCAACCAUCGGAAACCUACCCCUAAAACCUUUUGCUAGAGAGUUUCAUCCAACAAUAUUGAGAGCUUUAAGCCAAAAACGAGCACUUUUGAGCUCAACUCUUUAGACUGGCUUGCCUUUACAAUGAGGAAUAUUGGCUCGAAAUAGCUCGUUACUAACAAUAAAACCAUGCUUUAGAAGGUCAUCUAGGAACCCAAAAGGAAGAGCCACAUCUCAUUAAAAAAAAUUAGCUUUAACUCGGAGGAGGGAGAAUAAUGCCAACACCUUCCCAAACAUGGAGUAGGUCUAAAAAUCCCACUAAAGUUAACCUUGGGGAAGAAGCAAAAGAGACACCUUAUGCUAAAUUUCGUAGCUUCACCCCAUUCAACACCUUGCACACACAAAUCCUGAGUGAGGUAACAGACUAUAAAAUUUUGGGGCCACCACCACCUUUUACGAGGUUGAGUUGGCAAAAAAAGCAAUCCUUAAUGACAAAGUGCCAAUUCCAUGGAUAGAUUUGGCAUGAGGCAAAAGAUGGUCUUUAACUGAAGAGCACCAUUGAAGCGAUGAUCUGGAGGGAUCUGGAGGGGGCACCCUGCCCAAUUUAUCAGACAACCGUCCAUAGCCAUAGAAAGAAAAAUAAAAGUUCAAGCUUUCUUAGCUUCAUUCAACCAUCAAUUUUAAUAAGGUAAUUAAGUCAUUUCUUUGAAAUUACAAUAGAUUCUUGAUCAUGGAGUUUAAUUAAAUUAACCCAAGUGUUAAUUUCAUCAAUUGUUUAUUUUUUGGCAAUUGCCAUAGGUGAAAGUUGAUGAGAUUAAGCUUAAAAUUGAUAGAUAUCUAGUUGUUCAACUAAAUUUUAUUAAGAUUGUAUUAGAAGAUAGUGAAAUUAGUUUAGAAUUUAAAGUUUAGUUAAUUUUGAUAUUAAGGACUAAAUAGAAUAAAUUGAAAAAUGUUAAGAAAUUAUGCUAUAGAUUAAAAGUACAAGGUCUCUAAUGAAAGGAUAUGAAAUCAAAUUUUUAUCCGAUAUUAAAUAUCGAAAAAUAUGAGUGUUCCGGAUAUAAAGACUAAAAUAAAUAAAAUGCAAAAUAUGUUUGAUUAUAUAUUUUUCAUGUGAUUGAGUGAAAACUAAUGUCAUUUUUAUAAUUGAAUUAUCAAACGUUGCUAAAGACGACAUGGUGCCAUCCUUAGGGGUGUGCAAAAUUCGGGUAAAACCGAAAAAAUUUGGUUAAUUGGUCGGUUAACCGAAUUUUUUCGGUCGGGGGUCAGUUAAUUAUUUUUUGAUUUUUCGGUUAACGGUUAAUUUGGCUCGAAACCGGUCGGUUAACCAAAUAUUUCGGUUUAACCAAAAAAAUUAAUAAAUAAAUUUAUAAUAUAUAAAUAGGCCCACUAUUCAACUAAACCCAAUCCAAACCC